This 60677-nucleotide long non-coding RNA is filed under the name Capsicum annuum. Its description in RNAcentral is "long non-coding RNA (CANN_LNC009574)". The record is from RNAcentral. Lineage: Eukaryota; Viridiplantae; Streptophyta; Magnoliopsida; Solanales; Solanaceae.
UUUUUUUUUUUGUGUGUGUGUGAUAAGGAUAUUUUUAUUAUAAAAAAAUAAUUUUCUGCUUCUACUUGUGCUUUUUUUGAAAAACAGAGAUUUUCUGCUUCUUUCCGGAAGCAGAAAAAUUGCUUCUGCUUAUUUUUAAAAGAACUUUUGCAAGUUUACCAAACACCCCUAUUUUUUAAAAAAAAGUAUUUUUUUCUCAAAAUAAAUGUUUCUUUAGGAAAUAAGCAAUCCCAAACAGGCACUAAGACUUAUCAGAAAAUAAUUUUUUUCUUCUAAAAUUUUACUUGCUGACGAUGAAGACAAGACGAACAAUUUCGCAAAGAUUAAAGUGGUGGUAUGUAUUUAAGGUUUGAUUAUAUUAUAGUAAUACUUUAUAUUCUUUAUUUUUGUUGUCUUUUUUAUUUUUAUUCUAUCACUAUUUUGUGUAUGCAUAUGUCAUGUACUUACAUUUCAUUAAGGUUAGCAAAAGUUUUCGUUUUCACCCCAAAUUAUACAAAAAAAUCGAAUCCGCACCUAAAUUAUAUAAGUGACCUAUUACACACCUAAAAUAUAAAAAAAUGAAAUUUUUUACACCCUAAAUUUGACGUGGAAAAAAUAUAAUUAUUUAAAUAAAAAAUAGCGCGUCUAAGUUAAAAAAUAACAAAAAAAAAAUUAAAAUAUUUCCCACCCAACCGCAUCAUCCAUCAUCAUCUUCUUCUUCUUCUUCUCCAAAUUAAAAAAUUCCCAAACUGAAAAUUCCAAUUCCAAUUCCAAGUUGCUAAUGCGUUUUGAAUGAUUAACAAUGGCUGAAAUUUCUUCUCCUUCUUCUUCCCCAAUUCAAUUCAACCAUCGAAUCUAAUUAUCGGCCUCAAAUUUAACUGUCUAAUCACUCAAAUACUUAACCCUCAAAUAAAACUCAACUGAACAAUACUCACAUUGUCCAUCACUAUCACAAGCAUCACAAUUACGCGAAAAUCUCAUACUCAUAGCACGUUCACUCGAAUAAACUCGUCAUUUAAGAUGGAAGAAUUCACUUCAAUUUCUACGAGGCCAAUUGCUAUGGUUGGGACUUCGGCUAUCAUUAUACGACAAAGUACGUUAGCUAUGCUGGAAUCUGUGUCUCGGAGCUCGAAUUUCAUGAAGUCGGGUUUGAGACAUUGUCCAUUGUUGUUGUUGUUUGAGGAAUGAGGUUGUUGUUGGUGUUUUGACGGUUUUAGUUUUGGAGAAAUUAUAGUACUACUGAGGUAGUGAGGUUUUGUAUUGUGUGGAUAGUGUGUAGAGUUUAGGUGUGCGCGGUGGUGUAUCAAGCAAUCGCCACCGAAGCUGCAUCACUGGCGAUGAAAUUGACGCAAUUUCAGUGCCGCACCUUGUCUGCUAAACAAGGUAAAUAUCAAGUUAGACAAAAAAGGAUAAAACUUUUCUGCACAUAUAAUUGGAUUCCACUGUGCAGAAAAGUGUAUCUAUAAUUGGACAUUGAAGAAAAAGAAAAAAAAUUAAGCUCAUAACAAUGAAGGUUUUGAAUAUUGAAGAAAAAGAUAAAAAAUUGAACUCAUAACAAUGGAGGUUUUGGACAAUAAUGGAAGUUUUGGAUAUUGAAGAAGAAAGAAAAAGAAUUUAAAUUAAAAAGAAAAAAGAAAAAUUUAUGAAAAUAAUAAAAAAAAUUUGUAUCAUGCCGACGUAGCAGGCGCGUGUGCAACACUCCACCACAUGCAAGUGGUAUAAUGCUUUACAGGGUGUAAAAAAUUUCACUUUUUUAUAGUUUAGGUGUGUAAUAGGUCACUUAUAUAGUUUAAGUCUGAAUUCGACUUUUCAUGUAUAGUUUGGGGUGGAAACAAUGUCUUUUCCCUUUCUUUAUCUACAUUAUUCUUUUGUUUUGUGAAUUAACUCUCUAGAAAUUUUUCUGUUACUUCAUAAUUCGACUACUUGCUUGGUGAAGUUAAUAUGCUGUUCUACUAUAUUGUUAUGCAAAUUAUAACUGGGAGAGAUAUGCAUACAAUUUCGCUUCAUUAAUUUGCAAUAAUAUGUUUUUUAUUUUUAUUUUUCGCUCCUCUUUUCACCUUCUUCGCAUCUAAUUUUGCUUAUUUAAUUCGAGAGAAACUAUACUACAAGGGUGAUGUUUUUUUUUUAGUUAAUACAGGAGCAUAUAUUAGUAAAAGAUGAGUUAGGUUACAUCACUGCCCACAUGGGCAUCAAAAGAGUUUUGUCCCAGAAUGGGAUCAACAGUACCAAAAUUAUAGGACGAAAUUUUCCUACAAUACCUAGUUCCUAGUUUGUCUGCAUCUAUGGUUAUUGAUACAAACACAGGAGGAACUACCAAAAUGUUUGGGCUUCAUUGCUAAUGUCGUCUCCCUCCUUCUUUAGCGAGUAAGUCAGCUACCUUGUUCCCUUCUCUGUACAUAUGCACUGGUGGAGCUGCUUCCACCAUCUCCAGUAAUGACCUGCAAUCAUCAACCAGAUUGUUAAGGAGUAGGUGCCCAUUUGUGAGUAUUGUGAUCGCAUGAACUGAGUCUAUUUCUAUGUUAAUGUAAGUAAUGCCCAGGUGAGAUGCAAUUUGGAGUCCUACUCUUAAAUCAUGUAAUUCCGCAGCAAUUGGAGUAGUAUUGUUGAUACAAUCCAUAAAUCCCACAAUCCACUCCCCUUUAUGAUCCCUGAUGACACUCUCUAGCCCCCAUUUGUCGUGGUUCUGCUUAAUAGAAGCAUCAGUAUUGAGUUUGAGGAAUCCCAGCGGAGGUGGGUUCCAACAGAUAUGAAUAAUUUGGUUUGGGUAUUGCUGGUGAUAAUCCCCUAUAACAAGCUCAUAUUCUAAAGCAUUUGAAAGAAUAGUUCCUGUGUCUAUUGCUUUCUUCUCAUUAUUAAACAAGUUGUUAUUUCUAACUAACCAAAUUUCCCAAAUAAAGAAAGGUAUAAUGGUACCCCAUUUAAUCCAUUUGUUGAAAGCUUUGUGUUAAAGAGUGGCCCACAAUUUUCUCUAGUAGUUGGAUUUGACAGAAGUGAUAUCAAUGGACAUGGUGGUAUGGCUAGUUAUAUCAUUCCAGGCUGCAUAAGCAUUUUGGCAUUUGAAGAAGAUAUGGUCAGUAUCUUCCUCAUUGGAGUUGCAGAAGCGACAGUUUGGAUUGAUGUCCAUGCUUAUUCUGUAGAGAUACUUGUUGGUUGGGAGCCUUUUGUGAGUUAGUAGCCACAUGAAGUUUUUGAUCUUGUUUGGAUAUUUAGCUUUCCAAAUAUCCCUAAAGUCAAUAGAGGUAUCAUUGUUAGCAUCCCAAGGGUGGGAACAAUUGUUUAUGAGAUUGUAGGCACUGUUAGUGCUGGAAGCACCAUCACUUGUAAGUCCCCAUAUCGGUUUAUCCUCAAAAACACCAUGAUGAGGGAUGUGGGUCCUGAGGAUAAUGUCUUGAAUAUGCUGGGGGAUCACAAAGGAUAAGUCUUGGAAUUGCCAAGUUCUGCUGGAGUAGAUGUCAGAUAAGGUAAGCUGAUCCUCUUCAGGUUUAGUAGGGCCAAGGAGCAUGGCUCUGUGAGAAGGGUGAUGAGGAAUACAUCUAUCCUCAUAGAACUUAAUCGUAUUCCCUUUGUGUGGGAUCUACUUGUGGCCAGCAGUGCUAUCCUUCUAACCUUGCUUAACGCAGUACCAAGUUAUGGAGAUUACUUUAGCCCCCAGACUAUUUCUGGUUGGGUUUUUAUACUUAUUCAGCAGAAUUUUUCCCUAGAGAGAUUGGGUGUUUUGAUGUAAUCUCCAGGCCAAGCUAACACGAAGGGAUCUAUUUUUUAUCUCACUUCUCUGGAUACCUUGCCCCCUAUCUUGCUUAGAUCUAGUUAUGAUGUCCCACCCAAUAAGGUGAAGCUUUUUCUUAUCAGAAGUAGUGCCACAAACAAAGUUCCUUUGGAUUCUAUUGAUUAGAUCAGUUGUUUUGAUAGGGAGCUUAAUGCACUGCAUAACAUGGGAAAGAAUGCUGGCUAGGAAGGAUUUAGUAAGGACAGUUCUACCAGCUUGGUUUAGGAGUUCAGUCUUCCAACCACUCAGUUUGUUGUUCAUAUUGUCAAUAAUGAACUGAAAGUCAGAGUGAGUUGGUUUUUUGUGGAAGAUGGGGAAUCCAAGAUACUUGCCAACGUUAGUGCUCUUUUGGAUGUUGAGGAUGUCAGUGCAUUCCUUAGCUUGAGUAGUAUAACAGUUCUUGGAGAAAAUUGCUUUAGACUUGGAAAAGUUUAUUCUUUAUCUAGAGACAGUACAGAAGUGGUGGAGGGUCAGCUGAAUUAUUUAAAAUUUUUCUUCGUUGCUUUAGAGAAGAGGUGAGGUCGUCAUCAAAGAAGGGGUGGGAGAUGAAAGGUCCUCUAUUGGUGACUUUAACAGGAUUCCACAAUCUUGAGAAGAUAGUACUGUCAAUAUUUCUUGAGAAAAUAGUACUGUCAAUAUUUCUUGAGAGUCUUUCCAUGCAUAGGAUAAAGAGGUAGGGAGAGAUAGGAUCCCCUCUUCUUAUUCCUCUUGAAGAUUUGAAAGGUUCAGUUUCCCCCAUUUAUGAGAAUGGAAAUGGAAGAGUUUGUUACACAAGACAUGAUAAUCCUGGUUAGGCUAGCGGGGAAAUUGAAGUAGUUAAGGGUAUCACUGAUAUAGGACAAUUUCAGCCUAUUGAAAGCUUUUUCUAGAUCAAUUUUUAUGAUCAUGCUAGGGGUCCUCCCUCUCAUUUAUUAAAAUAGAAGACGAAUUCUUGCAUAAUGAUGGAGUUAUCAGUAGCCCUCCUUUUGGAUAGGAAGCUAGCUUGGGUAGGUCCAAUGAUAGAGAGUAGGAUUGACUUGAUUCUGUUAACAAUGAUCUUGGUGACCAGCUUGUAGACAGUGUUACAGAGAUCUAUGGGCCUGAAGUCUUUGGCUAGAGCAGCAUUGGAGUUGGCUUGCUCAGGCAUGCUUUUCUUAUUAAAGACUUCUCUGCAAAAAGCUAUGGUCUUCUCACCAACAAUAUUCCAGAAUUUCUGGUAAAGAAAGGGGUGGAUACCAUCUGGGCCAGGAGCCUUAUGGGGGUUGAAGGUUUUAAUGGCAUUGAUGAUCUCACUAUCCCUAAGAUUGUUAGCUAGUGAAUUAGAGAUGGCAUUUCUAAGGAUAGGUCUUGUGGCUUGGUGGUGAUUCUGAGGGUAAGGAAAACCGACAUGGUCAGUAAAAUAUAAGGUGAAAAAGUAAGUGGUGAGGAUAGUUUAAAUCCUCAGGUGUUCUUGGAUGCAGUUUUCUUCCUCAUCCUUGAGGCUUGUGAUUGUGUUCCUCCUUCUUCUGUUGAGGGUAGAUAUAUGGAAGAAUUUGGUAUUUGCAUCUCCCUGAGCAAGCCAGUUAAUUCUGGACUUGGUUCUCCAAAAUUCUUCCUCACAAUUCAGGAAGGUGUUGUACUCUACAAGGAGUUGAGCUUCCAAAUUCUGAAGAAAAGGGCUUGAAGAUUAAGCAUUAGCUUUUUGAAUGUCAUCUAACCUAGCUAGGACUCUUUUGAUCUUAUGAAAGAUGUUUCCAAAAGUAUGCUUAUUCCAAUGGAGGGCAUCCCUUUGAAAGUUGUCAGUAGCUUUCAAUAAAGUGUUGGGGGGUCAAAGGAGUGGUGAAUGAGGUUACUAAAGAAAGGGUGGCUACACCACAUGUGUUCUAGUCUAAAGGGUCUGUUAUUAGUAGUGAUUGGCUGGUGGAGCUGGAAUUUAAGGGGUCAGUGGUCAGACUUAGUUUUGGGAAGGUAGGUGACAGUAGCUUUAAGGUAAGCCUUAAUCCAGGAGAUGUUAGCUAUACAUCUGUCUAAUCUUUCAAGGAUAAGAUUGUUAUUACCCUUGUACCUUUAGUUGGUCUAAGUGCAUUUGCAGCCCCUAUACCCUAGGUCAAUCAUGCUGCACUGGUUCAUGCAACUUCUAAGAAGAUAAAAUUUUUUAUUAUUAAUUUGAUUUCCCCCUACUUUGUCUCUAUCUUGGAGAACUUCAUUGAAGUCUCCUCCAAUGAGCCAUUCUCCCUGGUAGGACUGGGAUAUAGAGGUGAGAUUGUCCCAAAGGGUAGUCCUAGUAGCAAAGUUAGGACUAGCAUAAAUAGCAGAGAAGAGCCACUGAGAAGGGUCAGAGAGUACCUUAACCAUGACAUGGAUGCCCUGGGGUGUGAUGGAAAUGUUGUCAAGAUUCAACAUAGUUUCGUUCCACAUAAUGAAAAUACCCCCAGACUGACCAUUAGCAGAAGAUUGGAUGUGAGAGUCAAAGUUGAAAGCUUUGGUGAGCCUGUGAUGUUCAGCCAUCCUGGUUUCCAGCAGAGCUAACAUUGCAGGUUUAUGUAUCUUAACCAUGGUAUCACAUUGUCUCCUAAAGUUAGCACUAUUUGUUUCUCUUACAUUCUAAAUAAUGAAAUUCAUGAGGGAAGAGAGUAGGUUAUUUGGAGGGGUCUGAGUCACGGCUGAUGCCCUUUGGGUAGAAUUCAUGGUCAAGCCUAGUGGGUUUAGGGCUACUGCUGAGGGGAUAUGGUCCAUCUGAUUCCUUAGAUUCAGUGUGCACCUCCUCAUCAUAAUUGGACAAUAAGUUAUAAUAGCUUCGCUGGUAGGCUCUUUGAAUUCUAGCACUAUCAUUUUCUCCAAAAAGAAGGUCUCUAUUUUUUGUUCUCCAAAAGGCAGCUAAUAUAGUUUCCAGUUCUACAUUGGACUUCUUUAGCUUCUCUACCAGCUCUAGUAUUGAGUUUUCUGAUUUUCUUGGGUUUUCUUCUCCUACUGGUAAUGGUGGUUGGGCCUGGUUCCCCUGGAAUAGCCAACGAACAAAGAUUGGUUGUGGAAUUUUUGUAUUGGGUGCAUUCACUGGGAAGAAAAGUAGGUUGUAGGGCACCUGAUUGAAUAUUGAGUUCAGUUUCUGUGACGGUAUUUGGUGGGUUGGUUGAUAUCAUAUCUGGCUAUAAUAAGGUUUGCAGACAUACUUGGGUCCCUAGCCUUUCUAAAGAGCAGUUGAGGGCAUCUUUGAGGACUUGUGCAAGGAAAGUUGGGUCCUGUAGAACCACCACAAGUGGUUGGUUGCCAAGCAUCAUGUUCAGAAUGAUUGACUUGUCCUGUAGGAGGAGCUCCAACCAUGAUGCUGGUGUAGGGUUCUGUGGUGGAAGUGUUGAUACAAAUAUUAGGGGCUCGGGGCUUUGUUACUGGGGUGUGUUCUGUGGAUUUUCCAUCUUGAAGAGUUUGGAUGAUGGUGGGGGGAGUGAAUGGAUCCACCUCCAUGAAGAUACCCUUAGAUAGGGUGUUUAGAUGAGAAGAGUUACUUGGCACGAUGGGGAGUGUCAAGUCACCACUGGCAAUAUAAUGAUUGCUCUUUACCAGAGGUUAUAGUUUUAAGGGAGCUAUAGAGUGGGUUGAGGGGAGAGAGUUAGAGACAAUUGGAUCUGAGGAGGGUCCACUUCCUAUAGUAGGAAUGACUUUACUUUCUAAUUACCCAGUCUCAUUAACUCUUGAGGUCAUAUUAUUAUUUAAUUGUUGAUUUGGCUUUGGAUUUGGUAUUAGAUUCUCAAUAGUGGAGGGGUUAUUAUUACUUUAUUCUUGGGCCUUAGUGGUGUUACCCGAGUGACUUUGGGCCUAGUUUUGUUGAUCUCGGGGAUUGGGAGAGCGGCCCAAAGAGCUUUGAGUCAUUUGGCUUAGUUGGGGUGUCUAUUUUGGACCUGGACCAAUAUUUUGUUUCCUCUCGCCAUUCUUGGGCCCAUUAUUUUGUUGUUGGGUCCCAUGAGGAUUGGCAUCGAUGCCUGAACUGAUUUCGACAUUCGUUAUCGGAGGUGAGGGAUUCAAAAGAGUGGAAAACUUACCUGUUAGGGCGUUGUACUCCUUUACCUGGAUGGACGCAUCCUUGUGACUGGAUUUGGAGUUUGCCUUCCUUGUUGAGAAUGAUACUGUUGUCCAUCUAUCACUAUCAGUGUUUUUCGAUGGUGAUUGUUUGCUGGUGGAGGUUUAUUGGUGAUGGGGGCAAUUUCCAGUAACGUAACUAAUGCGUCCACAACACGUGUACAUUAUCCCCUCUCCCUCUUAGACCAUCUUCUGCUUAUGUAUUCUAAUGGUAACAGUGGUUAAGAGCGGUGUGUUUAGAGGUAAUUCAAUGCAUAUCCUUCCAUACCGGCCCCUAAGGGUUGCAAAAGUGCAUGCGUCAAUCUUUAGGAGUUCGCCCAAUUUUUGUCCCACUUUCUCCAGUAUUGAGCUAUCAUAGUACUCAGCCGGCAAUUAGGGUAAUCUAACCCAAAUUGCCGUGUAUGUGAGCGUGAACUCAUCUAGUACAAAGCUAGGCACGCAUUGUUGUAUCGUUAGGAAUUCCCCUGCAACGAACCAGGGCCCUUGAUGUAGCACUUUGUUUGUAUUUUCUUGUUAAGCGAAUUUAACCGUAUAGAAAUCGCACUCCAAAUCUAUAAGAAUAAGGGGCUCUGUUGGUUUCCACAGCUUAGUUAAUUUAUUUUUGAGGUAUUGAUGGUCUAGUUUCUUUUCAAAGAGUUUGAUUAUUAGUGAGUGUUGUCAUGGUUCAUGGAUGUGUCUGAUCUCAUUAUCAGAGAGGAGAAUAGCAGCAUCAUGGGUAGCCUGGAUGAUUUCAAUGCCUUUGCCUGGGCGUUGUUGAUAUGUGAUGUUUAGAUCGGGACUCUUUUCCAUCAGUAUUUAUUUGAAGGAUGGCCUGGCUGUGUCAUCUUCAUCCAUGGAGGUCUUCAUGUACGGUGGAUCCGGUGGUUUCGAUGGUGGUAUGGUUGGGGGGUUAAUGUGUGUUGCUGGUGGUAUGGUCAUAGCUAGGGGGGUCGAUCCUCUAGGUAACAGGAGACCUAUAUGUUACUCCUUACUAGUUACAAGAAAUUUGGCUAUUGAUGGGUUUGGCCAUUAGGGUGACGUUUAUUAACACUUGCAAUCUUUAAUUGUCAUGAAGGAAUAAGGAAAUUCUAAUUCUCAUCCCGUUCCUAAAUAUUUAUCACUUCACAAAAUUAAGACAUAUUAAUUAUUAUUAUUAUUAUUAUUCUCAUUUUCCUCUUACAAGAUUUGUGUGCAUUAAUGUUAAUUUAGUAUUUCAAUCCAUUUAUUUGUGAUUAUUUACAUACUUUCACAAACAUACUUACUCCGUAUAAAUAAAGACACGAUGAUAAAAUUACGUAGCUUCUUAAAGGGUGUAAAAUUUAAAAAGAUGACAACUAUUUAGGAACAAAGGAAGAAUAUUUUAGAGACACUAAAAUCAACUAAAAUAUUUUCGUAUAAACGUAAGUCCUACUUUUUGGGACCAAAUAUAAGAAUCAAAUUUGACAUUUGAAUAACUUUUAGAAAUUGAAAUUUCAAGGUUUUAAUAUCUUACCACUAACCAUUAGGUUUAGAUUUUAAAUUUUUUGACCUUCAAUUCUAUAAUAGACAAUUAAAGUCUGAUCCAAUUUACAUUAUGUACUAUUAUUUUAACGUGACAUGGAUUUAAAUUUAAUUGAUUUUGUAUUAUGAAUUUAUAUAGACUUCAAAUUUAAUUCUGAAUCUUGAAUUUAAUUGUUCUAAAAGUUUGAAAUUUCUGAAAGUCAAAUUUUAAAUUUAAAAUCGUACUUAGGUCGGUUAUUUUAUUUUAUUUUAUUUUUGGGUGAUUUGAACUUUAAAUUUCUUUGGUUAAAUUUUAUCAACAUACUUUUACUUUGUCCAUUAAACAGAGCUCUUGUGUUUAAUUUUUAAUAUUUCGUAGUAUUGUAGUUUAAAGGGAUAAAACUCACAAAAAUACCUGAACUUUUACCGAAUUUUCAGUUGAGCAUACUGAACUUUGCGGAGGUCCUAUUACCCCCUAAAAGAUUUGGGUUCAUUUGAGAUGGGGAUAAAAAUUUGAUAAAAGUGAUUAUCGUGGUGCUUUGAUUUGCUAUUAGUUUUUUAUUUGAAAUAAUCGUAAUUUUCUCGAAUUUGAUAGUAUCAUGAUAGGCCGAAAUGGAUAGGAAAAUGUAGGUUCAGGUAGGCAAAAUUAGGAAUAGUGUUUUGUUGAAUGUUUAAUUGUGGAAUGUGUGUUUAAUGUUUUCUAGUUUAUUGUACUUGAUUCAAGUGUAUUUAUUUGGCCGGGGAAUGCCCCGAGGUUUCAUGUAUUUAGUCACCGAGGAAUGUCCCAACGUAUUAUAUCUUCGAAGGUGGUUUGUGAUCCAGGCCCGAGGCAUCGGGUAAGGCAUUGGAGCAUAGUUUUAGGAUUAGCUUAGAAUAACAUUUAUAUUUUGGCAUUUUUUCUAUUUUUGGACUGUAUAAUUGGACUGGACACUAAAUUUUGAAUUUGUUUUGUUCUGUGUGUUUGAUUGAUUAUUUUAUGUGUUUUUGUGUGGUUUAUAUAUUCGUAAUGUCAAAUUAGCUGAUACGAUCCACCAAGCGAUCGUGGUCGAACCACGGGAUCGAGAGGUGCCUAACAUCUUUCUUUCGGUCAACAGAAUUCCUUAGCUGGAAUCUCUAUUCACAAACUAGUUUAAAAGAGUCAAAUCAUUUUGAAAAGGAUUUUUAAAAGUUGACUUGGCACACCGGAUUAUGCCAAGUGACGACUCUGAAUAAAAAAUGUAAAUAAUUCUUUUUCGAAAUAAAUUUCAUUUUUUGUCACUUUGAUAAUUAAAAAUCCUUUCAAACUUAAAAUCAAUAUUUUUUGGUUAAAAAAAGGGGUGUGACAGCUCUGGCGAUUAUGUUGGGAAUUUUUCAGAAUUCGAGCUUAUUUUUAGAGUUGUAUUAGCUUAGUUUGACAUUAUGGGUGUAUAAACAUUGUUUGUGUUAUCGUUUGGGUUUAUUUUAUCAUUGUUGAGUGCCUACGUGUUUACAGUCUUUCUUUAGGUGUUACCGCUUUAUAUCUGGCAUCAUUUGCAUAACCCGAGUUAAUUCUUUCUACAACAAGUCCUAGAGUGCAUGUUGUGUACACGAACUCUAAUUGAGUCACCCUUAUUUUAGGAGGGGGAGCCAUCGGAUGUAUGGAGUGGGUGGAAAGUUUUCGCAACCACUAUCGACCAUACGCCAGUGGCAGAGCCACAACCUAUGAAGAGUGGUCAGAUGAACACCCUUUGUCGAAAAUUUUUUUCGAGUAUAUAGGUUAAAUAUAGAUAUUUAUGAUUAUAUACAUGUUGUUACACACCCUUGACAAGCUAGAGAAGCAUAGUUCAGUGGUCAAAAGUGUGCAUUUCCACAUCAACAACUCAGGUUCGAACCUUGGCAGGUCAGUAGUGCUUUAUUUUCUCUUUUUUUUUUUAAACAAUUUUAAACAAUUCUUUUCCCAAAGAAAAAUAUGAACACCCUUAUCCAAAAGUCUGGCUCCACCACUGCCAUACGCUCCCCCGAACAGCCUUGUUAGUGGACCCCAGUGUAAGUUAGCCUUUAGGUUAUGCUUAUCUGCAUCAUACUGAGACCUAGCGGGACUCACUUGGUCCUCUAUCGGAGACUCACCUUAAAAGCAUCCUUACGGGCUGAAUAUUGUAUUUUUUAGGGUGAUGUGAUCAUUUGACGGAUUGAUUUGGAGAAAACAUGUGAUAGAAUUAAACAAAGCUGUGUAGGCAAGAAAAAAAAUAAAAAAGAGUUUCUUAGUUUUUUUAGAGUUCUUUAUGACUUUUAUUUUUUACAAUCCAAAAAUUUUAAAAAGAUUUUCUUACCUUUUUCAUGCAUUUACUCAAAAAACAAAAAAACUCAAAAAGAUUUUCCCUUUAUCUCCUUUAGCAUGCAUUCAUAAUUUGAAAACUACAAAAAAAAAAUAAAAAUUUAGGAGCUUUUAUAAAAGGAAAAUUCAAAAAAAUGGUAGAAGUUUUGUAUAUUUCAUAUAACGAAAAUACCAAAAAGAUUUUUCUUUCAUAGUUGUUGGUGUCAUUUUUAUGUGAAUUGUCAAAUUGAAAACUCAAAGAAAUUUUAUUAAUGUUAUUCAUUGUCUAUCUUUGGUCGUAUCUCUUAAGUUAGAGUUCAGUUUGUCAUUUAAUCAUUAAUUGGUUCGGGGAUCUUAUUUCAAAAAAUUCAAAAAGAUUUUCUUCACUCUUUAUUAGAGUAGGUUCAUAUACAUCUUUCAAAGAAAACUACAAAAAAAAAAAUCCAGUAGUUUCAAGUUUCAUUGUCAUAUUGAAAUUCAAAAUCAAAAACCCAAAAAAGAUUUUUUUUGGUAAUCAUAGGUUUCAUUUUGUAUAGAAAUAUGAAAAAUUCAACAAAAGAAAAAAAAAUUUCUUUCACUCUUCAUUUUGAGUAGGUGUUUCAUAUACAUCUUCAAGAGAAAACCACAAAAAAAUUUUCCUUUUAUAGGCUCAAGUCUCAUUUUGGUAUGAAAUUCAAAAUCGAAAACCCAAAAAGAUUUUUUCUUUGGUAAUCAUAGGUUUCAUUUUUUAUAGAGAUUUUAAACUUGAAAAAUUCAAAAAAGAUUUUCGUCAAUUCUUUUGACACUUUAUUACUUCUUUUUCUUCUAAAGUUUCAAGAAAAAGAAAGAGUGCUUCAUUGGCCCUUUUGUGGCCAAACUUCACGAACUACGCACACCUGAUUCUCCUCUCUCGGUAGUGAGAUACGUAAGCGCCCUUCUUGGGUUCGGUGAUAUUUUCAAAAAGAAAAAUGGAAAAAAAAGGUUUUGGAAAAAAUGUUGAACUCUAAUGUAUUUGUGUUACCACUUUAUAUCUGGCAUCAUGUGUGAUACCAAACUCCCCAAUAACACAACAACACAAACACCAAAAUCAGUCUACUAGUUCAAGAACUAUGAACCUUUUUGAUGACCUCUCUGGGAUUCGCAAGAAGAACAAGAAGGGAAGCGAUAUCAAGAGUAAAACACACUAAAAUAGCAACAACACUUGAUAAACAAGAUGCAAUAACAACAACACACGGUUACAAGACAAGAACACAAACGGAUUACACUAGAUAUAGAGAAACGAUUACAAGAAAGUAAAGAUAGAUAGAUAGACAAAGGGAUGGUAUAAUAUUAACAACCCAAAAGCUUAUUCCACUUUUGGACCUUUAAUAUCACGCACAACUUAAACCUAUCUCUUAUGUGACCUCAAGGGAACCGAAAUUUCCAAGCAAUCUCCGUUUCUAAGCAAAUGAUCAACAUAAGGAUUCCACCUUGUCCAAGGAUUCCACAUUGCUAAAGACUCUCAAAGAAACUACAAAAUAUAUUCUCCAAAAAUCCCCCAAAAAUGACCUAAUGAGGUUCUAUUUAUACCUAGGUUAACUUAUUACAAAUGACUAAAAAACCCUUGCAAAGGGCGGAUGAAUAGUGAAUGCGGAUGCACAGUGAACAAUUUUGGAGUUUGUGGGACUUGUUCUCUAUACUUCAAAGCUUGUUCCUUGGAUGGGAAGCCCCCCGAGCUUGAGUCUUGACGCAUUGGACCCCGAUCAUGAUCAUACCCAUAUCAUCCUCCCCUCUUUAGAAAGGAUUCGUCCUUAAAUCCGAACCUUGCAAAGCAAUAGGAAGGACAGGCAAACAAAAAUUCCUCAAGGUAUGAGGGUUAGGAUUAGUUUAAUCAAUCAAAGCAUCUUGCCAAGGUGGAUCAAACUUCACAUAUACCCAAACAUCCCUCUUACCUGAAUACCCUACCAAGGGAGAAUCAACUAGUUUAUCCACAUAAGUAUGACAAGAAACAAGGAACAAGCAUCGCUUUAUCAAGUGGAAAACAUAGACUCUUCUUGGAACAACAAUUACACUUGAAAGCCGAGAGAGGAAAGCCAUACAUUCCAUGCACAUUCAAGUCAUUGCAAAAGACAUCCUCAUCACCACACUUCAAAUGAUCACCGAAAUCAAAUGGGUAGAGUGUCCAUGGGCAUGGGUUGGGAAUACACUUUCUUACCCCAAUACUACUACAAUAAUGAUCAAAUGUCCCCUCUAUACUAUCAUGGUCAAUAACAAAAACAACUAGAGGGUCAUCCUUAGUCAUUCGGCCAACAUGUUCAAAAUCAUCAUUUUCACACACAAGUUGGUCUUCAUGACUUCCAUAAGAAAAUGUACUACCACUUUCCACAAUGGCUUCAAAACUAGGUGAAUCAACUAGUGUAUCCACAAUCUCAAUUUGUACAUUAUCAUCGCAAAAUGAAGGCACAUUUGGCUUACUUAAAGAUAAAUUAUCAUUCACACUUAGUUGGCUAUUAUCCUCAUUCACUAGAGUGGAAAAAUUAGUUUGAUUACCUUAUAGCUCACAUGGAGCAUGGACACUCAUGGAAAUUUAAUUAGGAAGUAUUGGAUGCUCCAUCAAGUUAUCCAACUUCUUGUACAGAGAGUCUUCUGUCCCUUCCAAUCUUCUUUCCAUUCUGUCCAUUAUUCGCCUAUCUAUGGCAUCAAGCCUUGCCAUGAUGGAUUUAACCCAACUAGGCAUUUCAGCUUCAUUCUCCAUUGUACCCAUCAAGAGCUACUAAGCAAACAACACAAAAACAACAAACACAUUAAAGAUUAGCAAAAAUCAGUCCACAAUCCCUCACUUUCACACUUUGGAUUUUUCACUCUAUUAGCCUUACAAGUGUUGAUAACUCACUUGUACUCCAAUGAGGUUACUUGGUCCCAAUUGUGGCUCGAGGUCAGAGUAGAUUCUUGUCUGAAACAACUCAAAUAAGUAAUGUACGAACUUGAACCAAAAAAGAUACUAUGACUCAAAAAUGAGAACCAUACAACAAACAAUGUUAACAUGAAGAAUGUACACAAAACUAACUUACAAGCUAGUAGGGUAUUACUAGGUUGUCAAUUAGUGUCGAGCAAACAAACGAAACUAGGAAAUAAUAAAAUAAAACUAAGAAAUCUAAAAUUUGAACUCAAAAAUGUUGUGUAAAUAGUACUUUAGUGAUGUGGCAGUCCACUAUUGGCCUCAAGUUUUAUCAAAAUUUUAUUUCCCAAUUUCAAGUCUUGAUCAAUAUACAAUUUGGAAUUGGUGGAUUUGGUUAAUGGAGGGAAAAGUGNNNNNNNNNNNNNNNNNNNNNNNNNNNNNNNNNNNNNNNNNNNNNNNNNNNNNNNNNNNNNNNNNNUCCUUGAAACAAGGUCCUUAAAUCAAGAAAAAGUAGAUGAAAAGUCUUUGAAGUGAUAGGGACAAGUCUUUCACUAACAACUACUACAAGCUUGUUUUUCACCUUUUUAGAUCUAGUUUGCACUUUAAGGAUUAACAAGAUGAUGAAAGGGUGAAGAACCUUAAGAACACAAUAACAACUCCAAGAACAAAAACAAUUUCAGUUUCCAACUGCACUACAACAAAACCAUCAAAUCGGCCAAGGUUUAGGUAACAACAACAUCCAACUCAGCCACACCUUGUUCACAUCAACAACUUCAACAAGUUCAAGUUCAAUCUUAAAUUUGAACACUUUUUAGUGUUGAUGGGAAAGAAACCAACGCUAGAAAUACUCUAAACAAACAAAAGACUACAAGUUCUAGACACACAACAAACAAAUCUUGGCCAAGAUAACAACAACACAAUUUUUGGCUAAGAACACAAAAUGGAUAGAUUUGCACUUUUCUGGAAUUUUUUUCAGUUUUAAGUUGUUUUUUUUUUUGAAUUUUCAUCCAAGAGAACCCAAGAUUGGUAGUGUAGGAAAACAACCAGCCUUGCUCUGAUACCAAAUGAUACCAAAAUCUCCAAGAACACAACAACACAAACACCAAAAUCAGUCCACUAGUUCAAGAACUAUGGACCCUUUUGAUGACCUCUCUCGAAUUCGCAAGAAGAACAAGAAGGGAAGUGAUAUUAAGAGUAAAACCCACUAAAAUAGCAACAAAACUUGAUGAACAAGAUGCUAUAACAGCAACACAUGGUUACAAGACAAGAACACAAACGAAUUACACUAGAUAUAGAGAAACGAUUACAAAAAAGUAAAGAUAGAUAGAUAGAUAAAAGGAUGGUAUAAUAUUAACAACCCAAAAGCUUAUUCCAAUUUUGGACCUUUAAUAGCACACACAACCUAAACCUAUCUCUUACGUGACCUCAACGGAACCGAAAUUCCCAAGCAAUCUCCGUUUCUAAGCAAAUGAUCAACACAAGGAUUUUGGCCUUUUAGGCCACGAAAGUUUGAGGCAAUAAUAGGUCUGUGAUGCCCUUAGAUGUUCUGGGCCUCACGCACACUACACUGAUGUAUUCAACGAGUUUAUAGCCUUGGCCGACAGAAGAGAAGUGUAUUUUGAUAUCUUUUAGAGUGAUAAUAAAACCCUAAAGUAUUUUUAUGUAAUGGGUCACAAUUAGGAAAAGAGGGAAAUAACCCAAGUGCUAAUUAAAAUACAGGAAAAACUAUCACUAGUGACUACGAGUCAUGUCACGUCUUAUGAUGUUUAGUUACGAGUCGUCACCACGACUCAUAGUCUGGGCAGAGACACCUUGUCCAAGGAUUCCACCUUGCUAAAGACUCUCAAAGAGGCUACAAAUAUAUUCUCCAAAAAUCCCCCAAAAAUGACCUAAUGAGGAUCUAUUUAUACCUAGGUUAAAUUAUUACAAAUGACUAAAAAACCCUUGCAAAGGACGGAUGAACAGUAAACAGUUUUGGAGUUUGUGGGACUUGUUCUCUACACUUCAAAGCUUUUUCCUUGGAUGGGCAACCUCGAGCUGGAGUCUUGACGCAUUGGACCUCGAUCAUGAUCGUACCCAUAUCAAUGUGCAUAACCCGAGUCAUUUUUCUGCAAUAAGUUCGUAGUGCACGUUCUGUACACGACCUCUAGUUGAGUCACUCUUAUCUUAGGAGGGGGAGAAGUCGGAUGGUAUGGAGUGGGUGGAAAUCUAAAGCAACCACUAUCGAUCAUACGCUCCCCCGAACAACCUUGUUAGUGAAUCCCAGUGUAGGUCAGCUUUUAGGUCUUGUUUAUUUGCAUCAUAUUGAGAUCUAACGGAACCCACUCGAUUCUUUGUAGGAGACUCACCUCUAAAGCAUCCCUACUUGCUAAAUGUUGUAUUUUUUAAGGUAACAGGAUCAUUUGAUAGGCUGUUUGGGCAAAAGCAUAUGUUAGGAGUAAAGUGUAAAGGUGAGAAAUUAUUGAAAAAAGAGAAGGAACAAAAUAAAAAGAGUGAAAAAAGCAGAGUUUUGUAGUUUUUUAGAGUUCUUUAUGAUUUUUAUUUUUCACAAUCCAAAAUUCAAAAAGAUUUUCUUACCUUUUUCACGCAUUUACUCAAAAACAAAACCUCAAAAGCUUUUCCCUUUAUCUCUUUUAGCAUGCAUUCAUAAUUUAAAAAUUAAAAAAAAAAAAGAUUUUUAGGAGCUUUUUAUAAAAGAAAUUUCAAAAAAAAGACGGUAGAAGUUUCGUACAUUUCAUAUAACGAAAAUACCAAAAAGAUUUUUCUUUCGUAGUUGUUGGUGUCAGUUUUAUGUUAAGUGUCAAAUUGAAAACUCAAAAAGAUUUUAUUGAUGCCUUUCAUUUUUUGUUUGUGGUCGCGUCUCUCAAGUCAGGGUUCAGUCGGUUAUUUAACCCUUAAUUGUCCUAUCUGGAUGAACUACGCACCCCUGAUUCUCCUAUCUUGGGAGUGAGAUACGUAGGCAACCUAUUGUUGGUUUGGGAAUCUUAUUUAAAUAAUUCAAAAAGAUUUUCUUUACUCUUUAUUUAGAGUAGGUAUUUCAUAUAUGCCUCGAAAAGAAAACUCUAAAAGAUUUUCCUUAAUAGUCAUAGGUUUCAUUUUUGGUUGAUCUUAUUUCAAAAGAUCCAAAAAAAAAUUCUUCACUCUUCAUUUGGAGUAGGUAUUCCAUAUACAUCUUUAAAGAAAACUACAAAAGACUUUCCUUUAAUAGUUUCAAAUUUUAUUUUCGUAUGAAAUGCAAAAUUGAAACUCAAAAAGAUUUUCUUCGGUAAUCAUAGAUUUCAUUUUUGUAUAGAGAUGUUAAAGUUGAAAAGUUCAAAAAGAGUUUCGUCAAUUCUUUUGACAAAUCGUUAUUUUCUUUUCUUCUUAAAGUUUCAAGAAAAAGAAAAAAAAAAGUUUAAUUGACCAUUUUGGCAAGACUUCACGAACUACCACCUGAUUCUCCUCUCUCGACAGUGAGAUACGUAGGUGCCCUUCUUGGGUUCGGUGAUAUUUUCAAACUAAGAAAAAGAGAAAAAGAGUUUUGAAAAAGUGUUGAACUCUAACACAUUUGUUGUUUUUGUUGAGUCAGUUUAAGGUGGUUGGUUUGUAGCAUUCUGACUGGUCCUCCACAUCACACCAAAUUCAAAGAGUUAGUUGUAUCCAACAAAGAUAUAGAGAGUGACAUCAUGGAUCAAACAAAGAGUUAUGAAAAUGAGAGUUUAAAGCAAGAGAUUAGGAGACUAAGGCAACAAAUGAUAGAAAUACAUCAAGCUUAGGCCAGUGGGUUGCCUCUUCCUCUAUUUUCUGCUAUUGAUCCUACAAAUACCUCGAGUUUUCCACAAAAAUCAUAAAGUCAGUGUCCUACUGUUGUUGAUGCACCACAACAUACUCAGAAUUUAUUCCAAGCCAAAAGCAUCACAAUACUUUCACCAUUUUUCCUCGAGCUCCUCAGUACAAGCCUGAUACAUUCACAACACCACAUGUCGUCUGUGAUCUUGUUGCUUAAUCCCCUACUGAGGUUUCUACAUUGGCCAAGCACCCAACAGUUGUGCUUUCUCAUGCUGCUAAUGGACCCUUGUUCCAUACUCUUGGUGAUCAUCGCUAUACUCUUGAUCCUACUUUUAUGCUAAUUGGACCACCAAAAUUUCUUAACAAGAAGCCUAGUGCGCUAGAAAAGCCAGAGAAAAUGGUUGAAAAAAUGAAAAGUGCAGGAAAUAUUGUGAAAAGUUCCCUAAGACUUGUCAGUAAAGAAGAUGUUUCAUACAAAAACUAGGGCAUGUAUUCAAGUGUUAACCCUCCUCUAAGUCUUGAGAUAUCAAAAUUCGAGGAGCAAGAUGAACAGGAGGAAUCCGUGAAACAUUUGGGACAAUAUUUUAACCAAUUAAAGGAAACUAGAGGAAAGAAGAAUGAGAAAGAUAUAGUUGCUAUUGUAGUUGGAGAACGGGCACAUCCAAGAAGACGACGUCGUCGUUGCCGUCAAUCUCAAGCCCAAGUUCAUCCCCAAGCUCUCUAUAAUCCCUCCCAAAAUCUAUUAUACUCCAUUUUCCCACCUUCAUAUCUAGUAUACUGCGCACAACCAUAUGUUCAACUCUCUUCUUACUCAUAAUGGCGCGCACCAACUCCUCAGAGUUACCCUCCGACUCCAUAAAUCUAUCAAAGCCUUUCUAGGCCUGAUUUUGGAUCCAAUCCAAACAAUGAAAUGAGGUAGAAAUUAAGGAAUAGCUUCACACUAAUUGGAGAGUCAUUUGCCAGCUUAUUUCAAAAAUUGGUACAACAGGGCAUGAUCAUUCCUCUCCUUGGGUAUAAUCCUGACCCACAUUCAAGAAGUUUUACCCUAGUGUACGAUAUGCAUAUCAUUCUGAUGUUCAGGGUCGUAGUAUUGAAGAUUGUCGGGCUUUGAAAAGAGAAAUUGAAAAGAUGACUCAAGAUAGAUCAAUUAUGGUGCAGAACAUUAACAGUGAGGAAAGCUCUAGUCAUGCUGAUAUGCAAACCAGUGGCUAAGAUGUCAAGCUAAGCAAUUGAUAAGUCAUCCCUCUCCUUCUUAGGAAGAGGUCUGGUAGUUUGUUUUAUUUUAUUUUCUGUUAUUCAAAUUAUUUUAGGGUUGUAGUUCGGGAUCUAUCUUGUUUUGUCCAUUUGUUGUUAUAUUCAAACCCUUCUAUUUUUCAGUUUAAUUAAAUAGAGUGUCCCUUUUUCCUUUGUGUUUUAAAUAUGUGUUUGUCUAUUUUCUUUCCACAAUACAUUUUAUGUUGACUCUAUUGAUAUGAUAUGCUAACGGAAUUUUUAGCCAGAUCUUAAAAUCUAGUUUAAGCAUGAACAUUGAAUCAGAGAUUUAAAGUUAGGAAAAGAGAGCAUUUGAGAAAAUAGGUAGAGUGCUGACGCAUUUUGUGAUCAAGUUGAAGCCUUCUUUGAAAAUUAAGAUAUUUAUUUUGAGAAUCACAAGGAUAACUUGGUCAUCAAUCGAAAGGCAUAUCCCAAUUAGGUCAAACAAGAAAUGUGUAAUCAUCUAUCAAAAGAAACGGGAAUAAAAUCAUCUCCAUAAAAUCAUGAGUCAUUCAAUGUGAGAGAUAUACAACAACGGUAGAGUCGUAUGUUUGACAAGUGUAGAAGAAAGAAGUGGCAUACAUGCUCAGUUAAAGUUUGUGUUGUUAAAAUGUCACACAUGAUCUUCAUCUCUCACUUUUAUAUUGCAUGAUAUAUACUUGCAUUUUCAAGGAUUGAUAUGACGAAGGCAUUUCAUUCUGCUAUCCAAACAGUGUGUCAUAUUUUAUUUACCCCAUUUGAGCCUUCUAUUUUCUUUCGUACCCCUCUUUUGGAAUCAGGAUAGAGUCUGCAACAUCCAAGAAAAAGUGUCAAAAAAAAGGUCAGAAAAGUUUCAAAAAAAAGACAAAAUAUGUCCAAAAAGAAAGUAAAGAGAAGAGUGUUAAGAAAAAUAGAGUCAAAAAAGUUUCAAAGAGAAAAAGGGUCAAUAAAAGAGAAAACGAAGAAGUCAGAAUCAAGCAAAAGAACAACCUGCCAGAACUACGCAUGACCUGAUUCUCCUCUUUCGGGGAUGAGAUACGUAGUCUGCCCUACUCUGGGCUCGGUCUAACCAAAUAAACAAUUUAGUAUAUCCCAGGCAAAAAAAAAACUGGGGCAUGAGUUAAUCCUCAUUGCUUGAGUCGAUUCCAAAAGUUGUAAGUUCUACCGCACUUCAAGUGUCAAUUGAGCCUCAUGCCAUCCUUCUUUCUAACCUUAUCUAAAAGCCGAGUUACAACAAAAGAAAGACCUUCAGAUCAAUCUUUGAGGAUGUUAUGGCUAAGCAUGCAAUGGAUAUGAUGAUGCAUUUGGGAACUACUUGUCUUCCUCAGCAUAAGGAAUCAAGAGAGAAAUAAAAAAAGGAGAGAGUCUUAUUGGUGAAAACCCUUACAGGCACCAUAAGGCGAUAGUAAGUUAAGAGAAAUAAAAAUGAGAGUCUUAUCGGUGAAAACCCUCACAGGCACCAUAAGGCGAUGGUAAAUUGAGAAAAAUAAAAAUGAAAGAGUCUUAUUGGUGAAAACCCUCACGGGCACCGUAAGACGAUGGUAAGUUGAGAGAGAUAAAAAUGAGAGAGUCUUAUAGGUGAAAACUCUCACGGGUACCGUAAGAUGAUUAUGAGUCAAGGAAAACAAAGAUAAGAGAGUCUCAUUAGUGGAAAACCCUUACAGACACCAUAAGGCAAUGGUGAGCUAAGGAAAAAAAUAAGAGAAGCUUGUUGGCGAAAACCCUUCAAGGCACCACUAGCCCAAUGGAACCUUAAAUGCAAUUAACCUAAGGAAGCAACUCAGUUUUAAGGCCAUUAACUCAACAACAAUGGGUAGAAAGUUUGGAUGAAAAGAUCAAGCUACUUAAUCCAAAAUGAAUGGCAUAAUCAUUAGUGUUGACUAUCAUUUUUAGAUGAAUUUUUCAUUUUUUUAUUUUAAAAGGGGACAUUCAUUGUCUUUUCUUUCUACUCUUUUUUUUUAAUCUUUCUUGAGUCAAUUAUCCAAAUAAAAAUUGUCAUUCUUUUUUUCAUUUCUUGUCUUUGAGUCAAGUCCAUGUCAAAACAAGUGAGAAAAAAUUUCAAAACUGGCUACCAACUUCUUUAAUUGCACAAAGCAAGACAAAGUCCAACACAUGAAAGAGACAUGAUUGUGAGCCGAAAUAAGGCAUGCAAAAAUUUUAUCCAGCAGACAAGUCUGGGAACUCAUGGAAAUACCAAGGUUCAAAGGGUUUAUCUGAGGAGUAUGACAAAGUAAAGAUACUGUGUUUGUUUCAAAGUCACUCUUAAUCAUCUGAGUUUAAGUCAAUGAAGCAGCAAGUUAAUGGUAUAUGCUAAGGGUUGGAAGCGAGGUUAAAUGUGACAAGGGCAAGAGUGAUCGCCGCGAAAGCUAAAGCCACAAAACAACCACCAUGUUUUAAACUCACAAGUUUUCUUUGAUGAAACAGGUAACAUAUUACAUUCAAAGCAAGGACUUCAAAGCAUAAACAUCAAGGGUUUCAAUGCCUUACUUUUACAAAUGCAGGAAGCAAUGUUGCUACAUAGGUUUGAUAAUCAAUUCAUGGUAAAAUUCACAUCCUAUAUCCCUCAGAGAUACACUUUCUUGUCCAGGGAUUUCAGUUUUCAUUUGCUAGGUGAUACACUUCUUAAAUUGAACCUUCACUCCUAGAAGACGUACCUUUUAGUCGAGUUAUUCCCUUUGAUUCCUAUAAGACGUACCUUUUAGUCGAGUCAUUCCCUUUGAUUCCUAGAAGACGUACCUUUUAGUCGAGUCAUCCUCUUUGAUUCCUAUAAGACGUAUCUUUUAGUCGAGUCAUUCCCCUUGACCCCUAGAAGACGUACCUUUUAGUCGAGUCAUUCUUUUUGAUUCCUAGAAGACGUACCCUUUAGUCGAGUCAUUCCCCUUGACCCCUAGAAGACGUACCUUUUAGUCAAGUCAUUCCCUUUGAUUCCUAAAAGACGUACCUUUUAGUCGAGUCAUCCUCUUUGAUUCCUAUAAGACGUAACUUUUAGUCGAAUCAUUUCCUUUGAUUCCUAUAAGACUUACCUUUUAGUUGAGUCAUUCCCUUUGAUUCCUAUAAGACUUACCUUUUAGUUGAGUCAUUCCCUUUGAUUCCUAUAAGACGUACCUUUUAAUCGAGUCAUUCCCCUUGACCCCUAGAAGACGUACCUUUUAGUCGAGUCAUUCCCUGUGAUUCCUAUAAUAUGUAUCUUUUAGUCGAGUCAUUCCCCUUGACCCCUAGAAGACGUACCUUUUAGUCGAGGCAUUUCCUUUAUUCCUAUAAGACGUAUCUUUUAGUCGAGUUAUUUUCUUUGAUUUCAUAAGAUGUACCUUUUAGUCGAGUCACAUCCUUUGAUUCUUAUAAGACAUUCCUUUUAGUCGAAUCAUUUCAAUUAACUCAUAAAAGAUGCAUUUCUUUGUGUGGGAUAAUUUUUUUUUUUAUUUUGAUGUGAUUUCAGGAGCCCGUCUGAAGAACAGGGUGAAUACAUGGAAAUUCAAGCAACAAGGUGAAGCAGUUGAAAAACAAGUAAAAAGAGGAAGAAAAUUGAAAGUCGACAGUUGAAAAAUGGCAAGUCAGGAAUCCGCCUAAAGAACAGGGUGAAAAAAUUGAAAGGCAAGAAACAAGUUGAAUAAAAUGCAAGUCAGGAGCCCGCUGAAGAACAGGGUGAUGAAGUAGUGAGAUAGGAGUCAAUAAAAGAUGCACAUAUAGAGUUUUUGUAAUUUCAUUUAUAUUUUUAACUCGUAAUUUUCAUUUUUGAUGUAAUGACAGAGCCGCGGACUGAAACCUCAAAGGGGCCUCACUCGACUCUCCAACUCGAUUGUCCUUCUUCCUUCUAUUUCUUUCUUUGAAUAAUAGUCGGGACAAAAUUUUAUCUCGUUGUCUAUUUCUUGGUCUGAAAACACUUCGUGUUUACAUUCAAAGGGGGCAUGAUGUAGACACCUAAUUUUGUCCCUCCUAAAACCCAAUUCAUCCAUUUUUACCUCACUUUAUCAUACACCCUCACCCAUGUAAUUAUAUCCCACAAAAAUACAAAAAAUAACAACCCAUAAUAAAUUCACUAACAAAUUUUAUCUUGUUUUAAUCUAUUCUAACAAAUCUUAUCCUAACCAACUCACCCUACCCCACCUACCCUAUACACUACCCCCCACUACCCCAUUCACGUGACUCCUCAUAUUUCUUCUUCACAAAGAAAGAGAACAAUACAAAAAGGAGGGGACCCACACAUAUCACAGGACCAUCAACACAAAACACCCAAUUCAGGGGGAAAAUAGACCCACUUCCAUUUUUUCAUUCUUCAAGCAUAAUCACUCUCUAUUUUUUUUCUUUCUUUGACUCUCACAGGAAACACACAUACACGCAAUUGAUACACUAUCACACAUACACCGUACACACACACACUCACCUUACUACACGUACCACACCAAGUAAUUAGAGAGAGGGGGAUCAAAAAGAGACGAGACUGAGAAAAAAAUAGAAAUUGAAACAGAGAGGGAAGAGAGGUUGAGUGAAUCGAAGCAAAACAAGUGAAAAAGAGAGAAAAAGAGAUCAAUUUUGAGUUUUUUCCGGUGAGAUUUUUACCGAAAUUGGCAACGGUUCUUCAAGUCCACCUCCGCCGUGCCGAAAGCCCAAAAAUCUCAUUGGAUUUCGUCGAGUUUCCAAGAAAUACUCGCUGGAAACAGGUGAACAGCAGUAGUGUCACCAGUUCUCCAUCCGAAAUUGAUUCCUAAACAAGUCAACGUUUGUACUGUAUUUGGAUUUGGGUCAGUCGAUUCGUCUUGGUCUAUUUUGGGUUGCAUUUCUCAAAUACCGAGUUGGAAUUUGGUUCGUAAUCAAGGUAUUCUGUUCGGGAUUACAAGUUCGGGAUUUCUUAAACAUUAUUAUCAACGUAUUGAAAGGUCCAACUCUAUCUCUUCUCAUUUUAUUUCACUACACAUGUUUGAUUUACGUGAGACGUGAUUGAAUAUUGGGUGAUAUUGAUUUGUUGCUUAAAUUAGUUGAAAAGUGAUUGUGGAUUGUUGAAAUUAUAAAUCGUGAAUUGCGGAAAUUUGGUGUUAAAAGAAAAUUUGGGACAGAAUUGAGAAAUUGAUAAAAAUGGGUGAAUACAGAUCAAUUUUGGUUUAUUGUUGUUUUUUUUAACUCGGAAUAAGCAUAAAUAUUGUUGGAACAAGAUAGAAUUUUGAUAUGUCGAAACGAAUAAGCAAACGUAGGUUCGGGUAGGCAAAAUUUAAGAAUAAGUGUUUUCUUGUUGAAGGUUUUAACGUGGAAUUUGUGUUGAAUGGUUUGGUUUUAGUUCUUGAAUUUGAAAAUGUAUUCAUUUAACCAAGGAAUGCCUUGAGAGAUUUGUAUUGAUUUAUCCGGAGAAUGUCCCGCUGUAUUAUGUAUGCAAAGGAGAUUCAUGAUGAAGGCCCGAGGCAUCGGGUAAAGCAUUGGAGCGUAGUUUAGGAUUAGUGUAGGUUUACAUUUAUGCAUUUUUCUAUUUUUUGGGAUUGUAUAAUUGAACUGGACAUUAUAUUUUUUGAAAUUUGUUUGAUUGUUGUUUGUUUUGAUUGUUUUUGUGUGGUUUAUACAUUUUGUAGUGUCAAAUUAGCCUAUAUGCUCCACUAAGUGGCUGUGGUCAAACCACGGUACUGAGGGGUGCCUAACACCUUCCCCUCGGUCAAUAGAAUUCCUUAGCCGAAAUAUCUGUUCGCAAACCAGUUUAAAGAGUCAAAUUAUUUUGAAAAGGAUCUUUCAAAGGUAGCUUGGCACACCGGAUCAUGUCAAGUGGGGACUCUGAGUUUAAAUGUAAAAAGUCCCUUUUUGAACCAAAUUUUUAUCUUUUGUCACUUUGAUAAUAAAACCCUUUCGAAACUUAAAUUAUAAUCUUUUUGGAGUUAAAAGGGGGUGUGACACUCGUUGGCGAAAACCCUUCAAGGCGCCACUAGACGAAUGAGGUCUUAAAUGUAAUUGACCUAGAGAAGCAAGUCAGUUCCAAGAAAAUUAACUCAACAACAAUUGAUAGAAAAUGUGGAUGGAAAGAUCAGGCAGAUUAAUCCAAGAUGCAUGGCAUAAUCAUUAGAGUUGACUGUUUUCUUAGAUAAUUUUUCGUUUCUUUGUUUCAAGUGGGGAUGUUCAUUGUCUUUUCUUUCUUCUUUGUGUUUUUAUUUUCUUGAGUCAUUUAUCCAAGUAAAAAAAAACAAAUCAUUGUCAUUUUUUCUCUUGUCUUUGGGUCAAGUCCAUGUCAAAACAAGUGAAAAAAGAUUUCAAAACUGGCUACCAGUUUCUUCAAUUGCACAAAGAAAGACAAAAGGCCAGCACAUGAAAGGGACAUGAUUGUGAGCUGAAAUAAGACAUGCAAAAAUUUUGUCAAUAGAAAAGUCUGUAAACUCAUGAAAAUACCAAGGUUUAAAGUGUUUAUCUGAGAAGCAUGGCAAAAUAGAGAUACUGUGUUUAUUUCAGAGUUGCUCUUAAUAAUCUGAGUUGGGAUCAAUGACGUGAUAAAGCAGGGCAAGUGCUAGCAAUCUGAAACAAAAUGAAAGGAAUGAACACUAGAGCAGGUGUCGGGACAGCCAAAUGCUGUAAGCUACCAAUAAGUUCUUAAGUGACAAAUUUUCUUUGUUGAAACAAGGGAAAAUUCGCUUCACUUAAUUCAGCAAUUAUUGGAAAAUCACAUCCGUGGAAAUUUAUUUUAUGUUCAGAACCCUCCUGAAAAAUGAAAAUUUACUUAUGUUCAGGGCCCUACUGAAAAAUGAGAAUUUACUUUAUGUUCAGGACCCUCCUGAAAAAUAAAAAUUUAUUUUAUAUUUAGGACCCUUCUGAAAAAUGAGAAUUUACUUUAUAUUCAGGACCCUCCUGGAAAAUGGGAAUUUACUUAUGUUCAGGGCCCUCCUGAAAAAUGGAAAUUAACUUUAUGUUCAGGAUCCUCCUAGAAAAUGGGAAUUUACUUUAUGUUCAUGACCCUCUUGGAAAAUGAGAAAUUUACUUAUGUUCAGGACCCUCCUAAAAAAUGAAAAUUUACUUUAUGUUCAGAACCCUCCUGAAAAAUGGGAAUUUACUUAUGUUCAGGACCCUCCUGGAAAAUAAAAUUUAGUUUAUGUUCAGGACCCUCCUGAAAAAUGGAAAUUUGCUUUAUGUUCAGGACCCUCUUGGAAAAUGAGAAUUUACUUUAUGUUCAGGACCCUCAUGAAAAAAGGGGCAUAACUUUCAGAAAAAAAAUCAUUCUUUAGUAUAACAUUUGUUUAGGAUAAUUUUUUUUCUUGCUUUGAUGUGGUUUCAGGAAUCCGCCUGAAGAACAGGGUGAUAAAAUUACAAGUCAGGAGCCCGCUUGAAGAAUAGGGUGAUGAUAUUAAAAGUCGGGAUCUCAUCCGGAGAAUAGAAUGAGAGAAUUACAAGUCAGGAGCCCGCCUGAAGAACAAGGUGAUAAAAUUGAAAGUCGGGAGCUCGCCCGAAGUACAAAGUGAUGAAAUUACAAGUCAGGAGCCCGUCUGAAAAAUAAGAUGAUGAAAUUAAAAGUCGGGAGCUCGCCCAAAGAACAGAGUGAUGAAAUUAAAAGUAAGGAACCCGCCUAAAGAACAGGGUGAUAAAAUUACAAGUUAAGAGCCCGCCUGAAGAACAGGGUGAUGAAAUUGAAAGUCGGGAGCUCGCCCGGAGAACAGAGUAAGAGAAUUAUAAGUUAGGAAAGAAUAGGGUGAUGAAAUUGAAAGUCGAGAGCUCACCUGAAGAACAGAAUGAUGAAAUUUUAAGUCAGGAGCCCGCCUGAAGAACAGGAUGAUGAAAUUAAAAGUCGGGAGCUCACCUGAAGAACAGAGUGAUGAAAUUACAAGUCAGGAGCCCGCCUGAAGAACAGGGUGAUGAAAUUGAAAUUUGGGAGCUCGCCUGAAGUACAAAGUGAUGAAAUUGAAAUUCAGGAACCCGCCUGAAGAAUAGGAUGAUAAAAUUACAAGUCAGGAGCCCGCCUGAAGAACAGGGUGAUGUAAUUGAAAGCUGAGAGUUCACCCAGAGAACAAAGUGAGAGAAUUAUAAGUCAGGAGCACGCCUGAAGAAUGGGGUGAUGAAAUUGAAAGUUGAAAGCUCGUCCGAAGAAUAGAGUGAUGAAAUUGCAAGUCAGGAGCCCACCUGAAGAACAGGGUGAUGAAAUUAAAAGUCGGAAUCUCACCUGAAGAACAAAGUGAUGAAAUUGAAAGUCAGGAACCUGCCUAAAGAACAGGAUAGUAAAAUUACAAGUAAGGAUCCCGCCUGAAGAAUCGGGUGAUGAAAUUAAAAGUCGAGAGCUCUCCCGAAAAACAGAGUGAGAGAAUUACAAGUCAGGAACUCGCCUGAAAAAUAGGGUGAUAAAAUUGAAAGUCGGGAGCUCUCCUGAAGAACAGACUGAUGAAAUUGCAAGUCAAGAGCCCGCCUGAAGAACAGGGUGAUGAAAUUGAAAGUCGGGAGCUCGCCCGAAGAACAGAGUGAUAAAAUGGCAAGUCAGGAUCCCACCUGAAGAAUAAAGUGAUGAAAUUAAAAGUUGGGAGCUUGCACGAAGAACAGAGUAAUGAAAUUGCAAGUCAAGAGCUCACCUAGAGAACAUAGUGAUGAAAUUAAAAGUCAAGAGUCCGCCUGAAGAACAGGGUGAAGAAAUUGAAAGUCAACAGAUUGAUAAAAUAGCAAGUCAGGAGCCCGCCUGAAGAACAGGGUGGUGAAAUGCCAAGUCAGGAGCCCGCCAGAAGAACAGGGUGAUGAAAUUGAAAGUCAAGCAAUAAGGUGUAAAAUUGAAAGUCAACAAAUUGAAAAAUAACAAGUCAGGAGUUCAUCUGGAGAAUAGAGUGAAGAAAUUGAAAGUCAAGCAACAAGGUGAUGAAAUUGCAAAUCAGGAGUCCGCCUGAAGAACAGGGUGAUGAAACUCAAGUCAAGAGUCCAAAAAAAGAUGCGUAGAUAGGAUUUUUGUAAUUUUAUUUAUGUUUUAACUUGUAAUUUUUAUUUUGAUGUAAUGAUAGAUCCGCUGACCGAAACUUUGAUAGGGCCUCACUCGACUCUCCAACUCGGUACAGUCCCUCUCUUUCCAACCCUUUAAGAUACUGGUGAAUUGAUUCCCUCAUAACUUGGGUAGGUAGGAUGUCCUAUGUCAAGACUUGGUUUCCCUCCUUCCUUUUGUUUCAUUCUUUUUGAAUAAUGGUCGGGAUAAAAUUUUAUCUCAUUUUCUACUUCUUUGUCUGAAAACACUUCGUGUUUACAUUCAAAAGGGGCAUGCUGUAGACACCUAAUUUUGUCCCUCCUAAAGUUGAAUUUUAUUCAUUUUUAGUUCAUAUUGCCACGUACCCUCACCCAUUAUAUACUUUCCCCAUAAGAAAAUAAAUACAACAAAUCCUAACAAAUAAAAACCCCAAUCCCAAAAUAUCCCCUUAUCCUAACAAACUUUAUCCCAACCACCUCACUACCCUACCUCACCUACCUUACCCCACCUACGGUACCCCACUACCCCACCCUAAUCUCAUAAUACACAUAUAUGGGUAUAGGGGGAAAGAUAUCAACACAGCAACAAAAUAAAUGGAGAAGACCACCAGUAUAUUCACCACUAAUAGAAUACACACACACUGAAAUUCACUCUCAAUACACCAUACACACAAACACCUCACAGGAUAUACACCACUCCUCCAUCGUCACUGCUACACACACACAUACUAACAUACUCAUAUACACACACAAAAAGAAACUGAGAGAGAAAUUAGAUGCGAGAGAGGAACGGAAUAGAAGAGCAAGUCGAAACUUGGAAAAAUCAGUGAGGGAAGGAGAAAAAAUAGUGAAUAUUGGAGUUUGAUUUAGAAUAGAAAUGGCGUGAGAGAAGAAAGAGAUGAACGGAGGGGUAGAUUGGGAAUAGGAAGUCAAAAAUGAAGAGUUGAGAGAGAAGCAAAUCACUGUGUUUAUCACUGUUUCGGCGACGAGUUCACUGAAAACACCACGACUAUUGGAAGCUUGUCCCAUUUUCUCCGAUUUUCAUUACUCCCAGAGCUUGCUGGAGCUCCAGCGACACUACAAUAAUAAGCCCGCUCCGAAUCUGAUCGAAACCCCACCAAAAAAUAAUCCUCUCACCGGAGACGGGCUUUACCUCCACCAAAAUUCCAAAAAAUCUGAUCUCACACCAUUGUUGUUACUAUUCGGCGAUAGAAAUCCAUCGGGAAGCACUAAAAACCUAUAAAAAACGGAUGAGACAGGCCAGUCUCGAUACGAAUUCGGGUUUGGAUCUUCCGUUUCUUGGUGAUUUUGGUUCAAAUUGGUAAAAAUUAAAAAAAAAGGUUAGAUCGAAGCUGGACUUGUUCGUUCGUUGAGGUUCGGUUCGAGAUUUCAAUGACGGUCUUAGUCAAAAGGAGAAAUUUUAAUUGAAAAUGAUGUUAAGGUCUAUUUCAUAUUGGUUGUUGAUAUCGAUUGAUCGAAUAGGUGAAUUGAAUAAUUAAAAGAUUUGGGUUCAUUUGAGGUGGGGAUCAAAAAUUGAUAAAAGUGAUUAUCGCGGUGCUUUGAUUUGCUAUUAGUGUUUUAUUUGAAAUAAUCGUAAUUUUCUCGGAUUUGAUAGUAUCAUGAUAGGCUAAAAUGGAUAGGCAAAUGUGGGUUUGGGUAGGCAAAAUUAGGAAUAGUAUUUUGUUGAAUAUUUGAAUGUAGAGUGUGUGUUGAAUAUUUUCUAGUUUAUCGUACUUGACUCAAGUGUAUUCAUUUGGCCGGGGAAUGCCUCGAGGUUUUACGUAUAUAUUUAUCGGGGAAUGUUCCGACAUAUUAUGUCUUCGAAGAAGGUUCGUGAUCCAGGCCUGAGGCAUCGGGUAAGGCAUUGGAGCAUAGUUUUAGGAUUAGCUUAGUAUAGGAUUUAUAUUUUCGCAUUUUUUCUAUUUUUGAACUGUAUAAUUGGACUGGACACUAUAUUUUGGAUUUGUUUUGUUCUGUGUGUUUGAUUGAUUUUUUUUAAGUAUUUUUGUGUGGUUUAUACAUUCGUAAUGUCAAAUUAGCCGAUACGCUCCACCAAGCGACCGUGGUCGAACUACGGGAUUGAGGGGUGUCUAACACCUUCCUUUCGGUCAACAGAAUUCCUUAGCUGGAAUCUUUAUUCGCAAACUAGUUUAAAAGAGUCAAAUCAUUUUGAAAAGGAUUUUUCAAAGGUGACUUGGCACACCGGAUUAUGCCAAGUGGCGACUCUGAAUAAAAAAUGUAAAUAAUCCUUUUCGAAAGAAAUUUCAUCUUUUGUCACUUUGAUAAUUAAAAACCCUUUCAAACUUAAAAUCAAUAUUUUUGGUUAAGAAAGGGGUGUGACAGCGGCUAGCGAGUGUAAUACACGCACCAAAUCUCAUUUUUACACGUGUAUUGGCGCGUGUAAUAUACGCGCCAAACUCAUAUAUUUAUACGUGUCCAAGUGGGCAAAUAUAUGUCAUUAAAAUACGAAAAAAAAAAUUCUAAUGGGGUAAUACAAUCCCCACAAAAUUCAAUAUGCUCAACUGAAAAUUCCGUCAAAAUUCAGAUAUUUAAAUUGAGUGAAAUAUGUUGGCGGCCUCCAACCAAAUCACGGAUGCUCGUGGUUAUGAGAUUUGGCUUUUGUAACACUAAUUUUCUUUAGUUUACAAUAUUAUGUUUAUCUCUCUUAUUUUUAUUUUUCUUGUGACAAUUCUUUUGACGCGUGUUUAUCAUUACUUAAAAGAAAUUAUAAUCCUACUAAUCUGCCCUUUUAAUAUAUUUUUUAUUUAAUUUAUUAAUAAGCAUUUUAAAAAUAGUACCUCAUAUGAGCCCUUAUUGAGUAGUAUUAUUUAUAUUUUCAGUUUAAAAAUAAAUAUUUGUGGUAUUGAUGCAAAUAUUGCAAGUAUUUUUCCUGGAUACUCAGCUCCAAUAAUGUUUUGAGUCAUUAGCUUCCUUCGAGAUCAUUAGUGACAUUGACAUCAAAAUGAAAGAUCAGUCCUUAAUUACUAAUUAUAGUAUAUUUGCAAUUGUCCUAAUAAUUGAGUUGCAAGAUGAUUAGUGAAUUAUGUUAAUUGUGUAAUGAUAAGUGAUUUGAAUAUAUUUGUUGAGCAUUGCUUUGUUUAUGUGUUAUGGACAUUCCGCCAAACUCCCGAGCAAUGAAGUCUUGCGAUAAAUAAGGACCUAUAUCUUUCUAAACCAUUCUAUAGAUAGGUAAAUAUUGUUCAUAUCAUAUACUAAAACAAUCUAUAAUUCCUACAAGACCAAAUGAGAAUAAAUAGAAGCAGUAAACUAGAACAACUUCAAAUUUUGAUAUGUGUGGCGUAUGACGCACGAAAUAUAUGUAAGGCGCACGAAAUGCACGUAUAAAAUACAGAAUGCACAUACGGUAUGACACUAUUAUUAUAGGAGGAACCCAAUUGCAUAAUGAUUUGCAUGAAUGUUGUAUAUAUAUUUUUACACAAAUGCAUAAAAGGUGUAUAAAUAAAUAAUAUUUAUACAAGAAUUAUACUUAUUUAAAUAGAUAUUAUACAUUCACUGAAAAAUUUUAUGUUAGAUAUACCAAUUGUACAUGAAAUAUAACAAUCGUAUGAUAUCACUUAACAAUUCCGAAGAGCUUUUAUCCCCGAAAUACACAAUUAAAUUCAUUAAUUCUACAUGCAAAUAAAAUAAAAAGUAUCAUAAUAAAAAGAAAAUUAUACAUGGAAAUAGAGUUAUUACAAUAGAAAUAAGUCAUAAUACAUAAAUAUGAUCCUAAACUUGAUACCAAAUUAUAACAUUGUCUUUAAACUUUGAUAGUGCACAAAUAUGACCUUUAACUAUACAAAACCUGAACAAAUAAACACACCGAUCCUAUUUUGCAAAAAGCAUGUGUGCACGCAAAUAUGAGCGGGUCUGGCCUAGAAUUUGAGCAUCCCAACAAUAAAAAAAUAAUAAAAUGACUAUUAUGCCCUUACUAAUUCCUUUUUAUACGUUUAAAUGACUUUUUCGUAUUAUUAUUUUCAUUAUUUUCAGCUCAUUGAUGAAAAAUGGCAUCUAAUUUCUUUUGUCAUUGCGGAAAAAGAGCAAUAUUGAAGAUUUCUUAAUUAGGUGGGUCAGCCUCAUAUGAAAAAAUCACGCGGGUAUCUAUAUAUAUUAUAAAACAGAUGACAAAUUUAAGUUAUAUAAUAUAUCUAAAUAUAAUUUAUUUAAAUAUUAAAUUAAAGAUGAAACUAUACCACUAAUUAAAAAAAAUUAUAGUUUUAAUAAAACGUUAUCAAAACGUUAUUAAAAUAACGUUAUUAAUAAAAUGUUAUUAAGGGCGGUAGUGGUAUAUUAAAUUAACGUUAUUAAAAUAUUAUUAAUAAAAUGUUAUUAAGGACAGUAGUAGUAAUAUAUUAAAUUAACGUUAUUAAAACGUUAUUAAAUUAACGUUAUUAAGAUUAAAUUUUAUUAAAAUAUUAUAGUAUAUUAAAUUAACGUUAAUAAAACGUUAUUAAGAUGAAAAUGUUAUUAAAAUAUUAUGAUUAUUAAUAAUUAUUAUUAAUAUUAUUAUUAAUCGUAGUAGUAGUAGACUGAUAGAAACAAUAGUAGUACGUAAUAUGUAGAAGUAGUUGAAUAAUAAUAAUAAUAAUAAUAAUAAUAAUAAUAAUAAUAAUAAUAAUAAUAAUAAUAAUAAUAAUAAUAAUAAUAAUAAUAAUAAUAAUAAUAAUAAUAAUAAUAAUAAUAAUAAUAAUAAUAAUAAUAAUAAUAAUAAUAAUAAUAAUAAGUGUUUAUUUAUUCAGAUUUUGUAUAGUUAAAGGUUAUAUUUGUGCACUGUCUAAGUUCCAUGUCAGCCUUUUUAAUGAAGUGAAACCGUAUGACUGACUGAUUAAUUCACGUAGGCGCAAGUGAGAUACACAUGCCUAAGUUGCAAAAUAUGAAUGUUUAUUUGUUAAGAUUUUAUAUAGUUAAAGGUCAUAUUUGUGCACUGUCAGGGUUUAAGAUCAAUGUUAUAAUUUAAUUUCAAGUUUAGCAUCAUAUUUAUAUAUUAUAACUAAAAAUAAAGAAAAAUACAAAUGUCAUAAGCCAGAGGUGGCUAUUUAGUCACGGCGACAUUCAGGACAUGUCGCGUUUGCAGUCACCCAAGAAUAGAUGUCGUCAUCAUGAUAUACAUGACUACAUGGAAGGACUCGUACGUAUUUUGUCCGCAAAAUUUAUCGUCAGGUCCCUUAAUUUGACGUCAUCUUUCACUUAAGCAUCUCAAGUAAACAUUAUUUUUUUUUGACACCUUAAAUAGCGUACAAGUGUGUUACUUUGGCAUUUUUUACUGAGUUGAUAAGGUGCGUGUGUUAUACCUUCAUGAAGGCGGGUUACAACCCUUUUAUGGCUGAUGUGGCGCCCAAGUUGGUCCACCAACAAUAUAUUAAUUCACCUCUAUUAAUUUAUAUCUUUUUCUUCAUUUUAAUCCAUUAUUUUUGUCAAUCUUAAACUUAUUUAAUGGUAAAAAUUAUUGGGAGAUAUUUAAAAAUUAGAUACACAUUUAUGAGUUCGUCUUGUCAAAAACAGUAUAUUAAUUCAUUUCAUUAAUUUAUACUUCUUUCACAUUUUUAUCCAUCAUUUUUGUCAAUCUUAAAUUUAUUUGACGAUAAAAAUUUUGAGAGAAAUUUAUAUACGCAUUUAGGAAUUUAUGAAGAUAAGAAAAUCAAGCAAUAUCAAUGAAGAAAAGAUGACAAUUGAAUAAAAUUGAUGAAGAGAAAUUGAAAAAUAAAGCUAAAUAAAUGAAGAAAAAUUGAAAUCAAACAAAAUCAAUUAAAAAAAAAUUAAAUCGAAGCAUAAAAAUCAAAAAAAUCAGUGAAUAAAAUUAAAAAUCGAAGCAAAAUCAAUGAAAAAAGUUGAAAAAUAAAGCUAAAUCCAUGAAGAAAUAUUGAAAUCAAACAAAAUCAAUAACAAAAUUAAAAAUCAAACCAGAAUCGAUGAAGCAAAUCGAAAAAAAUGAAGCUAAAUUCAUGAAGAAAAUCCAAAAAUCAAGAAAAAUCAGUGAAGAAAAAUUUAAAAUUGAAGCAAAAUCGAUGAAAAAAUUAUAAAAUAAAGCUAAAUUCGUGAAGAAAAAUUGAAAUCAAACAAAAUCAAUUAAAAAAAAACUAAAAAUUGAAGCAAAAUAGAUGAAGCAAAUCUGAAAAAAGGAAGCUAAAUUCAUUAAGAAAAUCUAAAACCCAAGUAAAAUAAGUGAAGAAAAAAUAAAAAUUGAAGCAAAAUCGAUGAAAAAAAUUAGCGGGGUGGAUAGGGGGUGCAAGGUCUUUCAAGAAGAUAAAGAGGGGAAGAAGACUGGCGGGAUGGGGGUGGCGAGGUGAGUGGGAUGUUUGAUGAAAUCUGGCAGGGUGGAGGAGAGGUGGGGGAAGGGGUGUUUGAAGAAGAAGAAUGGUGGGAUGGGGUGGGGUGGGUGGGGUGGGGGUGGCGGGUGGGUGGGGUGUUUGAAGAAGAAGACUAGUGGGGUGGAUAGGUUGGGGGUAUUUUUUUAUUUAAUUUAAUUAUUUAUAAAUUACUUGGAUAAAAAUGAUACAAGUCCACAUUUUAUUCGUCAUUUUUCACCUCAUUGGAGAGUGUAGCACACGCACAUAAUAUUGUUUUACUGAUUCAAAAAAACGUGCCAAAGUGACACACUAAAAGGCCGCUUGAGGUGCCAAAAAGGAACAAUGUCCACUUGAGGUGUCAAGUGAAAGAUGACGCCAAGUUGAGGAGUUUGACGAUGGAUUUUACCUAUUCUGUCCAUUCGAAUUCGCUCAAACAAAUUAAACGUGACACGUACCAUCCGUAAAGUUAAUGUCCUUUUGUACUGAAUAUGGCAUAAGAAGAAACAUAUUAACUAAACGUCUGGUACGUCUGGAGAGACAUCACGCCUAAACCUAAAACAUCACUCGCAAUAUAAUAUGACAAGUGCCACUAAAAUUAAGCUACCCCAAUCAAUCAAAACAAGGCAAAACUCAUACGCAGCCCCCUUAAGUAUGCAUCAUUUUUCACGUAGGCACCUCAAGUGGACAUUGUUUCAUUUUGGCACCUAAAGUAGGUAUAAAGUGUGUCACUUUGACACCUUUUGCUGAAUCAGCAAAUUUAUAUUGUGUGCGUACGCGCCUGAUGAUGUAGAAAGUGACAAAUAAUAUGCCGACACGUGUCAUUUUUCUAAAAACUAAGUUUUAAAUCAUUAAUUAAUUUUUUUUCAAAAAUAAUCACCCUUUUCCCCAAUAAUUAAUUUUAACCCCACCCACCCACCUGCCACCCCACAAGUCAAUUUUUAAUUUUUUUUAAUUGAUUUUAUUUGAUUUUAAUUUUUCUUCAUGGAUUUAGCUUUAUUUUUAAUUUCUUUCAUCAAUUUUGCUUUGAUUUUUAAUUUUUUUUCAUUGAUUUUUCUUGUUUUUUAUGCUUCGAUUUUAAUUUUUUAAUAUUGAUUUUGUUUGAAUUCAAUUUUUCUUCACUGAUUUAGCUUUAUUUCUUAAGCAUUCUUAUUUCUUAUAAUUAAGCAUUCUUAUUUCUUGAUUUAAUCAUUCUUGUUUUUUGAUUUCGUCUUUCAUAAAAGAAGCAAGAUUCUUGAUUUGACCAUUUUAGCAUAAGGAUGUAUUAAGGAAAAAAAUGGUGCUAAGUUAAUGGAUUGAAGAAGAAGAAGAAGAAGAGUGAAGAAAAAUAAAAAUUAUGAAAAUGCCACCCAAACGUGCCUUCAAUGCGUGUGUCACACGCACCUUGCUAACUCAGCAAAAAGGGUCAAAGUGACACACUUGAAGGCCACUUGAGGUGUCAAAAUAGAACAAUAUCCACUUGAGGUGCCUAAGUGAAAGAUGGUGCGUAUUUGAGGGACCUACGUAUGUGUUCUGCCUAGAAACAAAUUACGCUUAAGAUCAUUUUGCCAUUCUUUUUUUUGUAACAACACAAUCAAUGCAACAUCGAACUGAGAAAACUUUUUUGAGCAAAAAAAAAAAAGAAAAAAAAAAGACAGGAAGAAAUAAAGUAUGGAAACCUCAUUUUUUUGUAAAAUAUACUCUAUAUUUUUAAUUUAUUUUUUUUGAUGUAUUGUUAACUUUGAAGAGAAAUUUUGGGGAAAAAAUAAAAUAAUUUUUUAGGCCACGUUCAAUAGUUACUAAAAGUAAAAUUAAUCGUUUAGAUUUUUUUCUUUAAAAAUAUUAAAUUAAGGUUGAAGGUAAUUCACAAUGAUAAUAUUAUCACACACAUGUUUAAGGAUAAUGUUUAUGUGAUUCUAAAUAUUUUUACUAAUUGAGAAUGGGAUGCAUGUAUGACGUAUGAAAGGCACAUAAAAUAUAUAUACGUCACGCGAGAUCCACGUAUGGCAUACAACUUAUCAGCCUCCUAUUAAAAUUUGAUGUUAAGCCACCAAAUUCAUUUAGCUUCCGCUGACCUUGAAAGGUCACUAUUUUAAUCUCGUGUCAUGACAUAGCUUAAUUCCUGAGAUAGCUUGAUUUGUUGUAGCUAAAAAAAAAAAUCUUAUCUAACUUUUCAGUUCUUUUGACUUGAAAGGUCCAACUUCUUGUGUUAUUUGAAUUUAGCUUUACUUUGGCUUUCUAGAAUGUGACAAAAAAAUAUCCCUGUAAUGGCAAUUUGUUGAAACAAUCUUAGGAGGAUAAUGUGUAGUGUAUGUUUGUUUUUUGUCAUAAAAUGUAGGUAAAUCAUUUCGUUUCUAAACUAGAGAAUUAAAAUAGAUAUUUAUAGUUAGUAAAUAAUAAACAAAUAAAGAUAAAGGGAGGAAGUAAUGAAUAUUUGCUUUGAAAAUCGAAUAUUGAAAAAUGAAAAGAAGCUCAAUCUUCAAAUGUUCUCGUGGUUUUUUCCAUUUAUGUAAAUACAAGUCAAUAAAAUAAUCGUGUUAAAACCACGAAGCUCGAUAGAUACUUCACACCUUCCCUCGGUCAACAUAAUUUCUUAAUUAAAAUUUGUGUCACAAACUACUUUCGAGGUAAACAUAUUUCUUAAUCGAAAUCUCCAUCGCAAACUGAUUUUUGAAGUCAAAUGCAUAUUGUAAAGGGAUCUUUAUUUUUCAAAGAGAGACUUAAUACAUCAAAACUCGAUGCCAAGUUACAAUUUUGUUACUUUAUGUGCAAUCAUUAUCAUUGAGUCGUGUUAGUCUUAUCUAUUUGUUUUUAGUCUGACCUAUUUGCACGCCUUAUUAUUUCUUCUUUUAUUGAGUAGUGACUGUGGUGGUUGACGGUAGACUAGGGUCAUGUCAUAGGUCGGGAUUGGGGUCAAGAUCAGGGUCAAGGGUGAGGUCGGGGUCUGGGUCUGGUGUGGGGGUAAGGUUGGGUUCAGGGUUGGGGUAAGGGAUAGUAGGGUUAAGUGGGAUGAGAGAGCCUUUAGGUUGAGAAUUGGCUCUUGGAACAUAGGGACCACAGAGCUUGUGAAGAUUCUUAGGAGGAGGAAGAUUAGUAUAGCUUGUGUUUAGGAUACCAAAUGGGUAGGUUCUAAGGCGUGGAAUAUGGACGGGUAUAUUUUGUGGCACUCUGAUAGCGUGAGGAAUAGGAAUAGGGUUGACAUCUUAGUAGAUGAAGAGCUUAGGAGGCAGGUGGUAGAGGUUAAGUGGAUUGGCGCUAGGUUGAUGUCGAUUAAAUUGGUCAUUAAAAGAUCUAUAUUGAAUAUUAUUAGUGCCUACACUUCACAAGCGGACUUGGACAAGGAGGAGAAAAGGAAUUUUUGAGAGGUUUUGGAUGAGGUAGUGCGAGAUGUACCGAGCACUGAGAAGUUUUUCAUAGGAGGGGAUUUCAAUGGGUAUAUUGAGUCUUUAUCGAAAGGUUAUUAUGAUAUGUAUAAAGGUUUCAGUUUCAGGAAAAAGAACGAAGGAGGAGCUUCACUUCUGAAUUUUGCUAAGGUCUUUGGGUUGUAGGUAGUGAAUUCGAGCUUUACGAAGAAGGAGGAGCACCUUUUUACCAUUCAUAGUUCAGUGGUCAAGACUUAGAUAGACUUUUUGCUCCUUAGGAAGGGAGAUAAAAUGCUAUGUAAAGAUUGUAAAGUCAUACCUAACGAGAAUCUAUCGACCCAACAUAAACUCCUGGUGAUGGACUUGGUAAUGUAUUGUAAUGUAUAUAUAUUGUAGUAUAUUUUAUUUAAAGUAGUACAUAUAUAUUGAAUGGUGCAUAUAUGUGUGUAUAUAUCUUCUAUAGACGUGUAUAUUUAACUUAUACAUGUGUAUAUGUUUUAUAAAUUAGUAUAUAACUAUAUAUAACUAUAUAUAUAUAUAUUGUAAUGUAUAUAUAUUGUAGUAUAUUUUAUUUAAAGUUGUACAUAUACAUUGAAUGAUGUGUAUAUGUGUGUGUAUAUCUUCUAUAGACGUGUAUAUUUCAUGUAUACAUGUGUAUACAUUUUAUAAAUUAGUAUAUAACUAUAAUUAUAUAUAUAUAUAUAUUGUAAUGUGUAUAUAUUGUAGUAUAUUUUAUUUAAACUUUAAAGUAGCAAUAUACAUUGAAUGGUGUGUAUAUAUGUGUAAUUGUGUAUAUGUGUAUAUAUUUUUUAAAUUCUAAUGUAGUAUAUACUAUAUACAUAGUGUAUAUAUUGUUUAACGUAUUUAAAAUAUUUAUAGGUGGGUAUAUCUAGUGUAUAUUAAAAAAAAAAUUAUUUUUAUUUUGACCGAGUUUGACUGGAUUUUUAAUCGGGUUUGAUCAGGUUGGGUUAAGUGGGCCGGGUUAGGGUUGUUUUUAAAAAGUUUACUGUUGACCUCAGCCCAGCCCGGCCCACAACCCGAAUAAUUUAAACGGGCUAGUUCUGGGCUAACCCGGCCCGGCCCACUUAACACCCUUAGGAUUAAGUCAGAUAGCUUGAAUUUGGCUAGUACAUUGGAGAUUGAGGAGAAGUUGACGAUAAUGGAGGCGUGGGAGAGUAGUGGGGAUGUGGAUAGUAUAUCAGAGACGACUGACAAUUGCAUUAGGAAGACAACUAGAGAGGUGUUGAGUGUCUUAAGAGGCUGAUCUAACAAGCACGGAAGGGACAGAUGGUGGAAUGAAGAAGUCAAACAGAAGGUGGAGACUAAGAAGAUGGCUUAUGCAAAGUUGGUGGAGAGCAAGGACGACGAGUAGAAAUGGAGAAAUUGGGAGGAGUAUAAGUUAGCUAGGAGAGAGGCUAAGUUAGCAGUUACAGUGGCUAAAAUAGUAGAUUUUGAGAGCUUGUAUGUGACUUUAGAGGAGAAAAAUGAAGAUAAAAAGUUGUAUAAGCUGUCAAGGCUAGAGAGCGGUGGGUCCGCAACCUUGACCAGGUAAAGUGCAUUAAGAUGGAGGAUGGAAAAGUGUUGGUGGAGGAUACCUAUAUUCGGAGGCAUUAGAAAUCCUAUUUUCAUGAACUUUUGAAUGAUGAGGGGGACAAAAGUUUUGUGUUGGAGGACUUGGAGCAUUCAGAGAGGUGUCACAAUUACAAUUAUUGUAGGUGUAUUGAUGACGUCCAAACAACACCUCCUAUCUAAUGAUGAUACAAUUGCUGUCAAAAUAUAGUAACCCAACGUGAUUUGCAAAUCUCGGCAGUUGUAGUCAAUGGGCAGAACAAGAAAAGUAAAUUGGGGAAGGGUUUGGAUGGCAGAAUUAAACAAAGAGCAAGUAUCAACUUCGGUUGUGAUCAGUAGUGGUGAACACUAGGAUUGUUUCCUCUGGCUUCUCAACUUCGUAGGCUUACCAAGAUAUGUUGAACCAUACCUUACAUGCAGAAUUGAUAAGUUAUGUACCUUCUACAGUCUUUAGGAAGAGUAGAAGGAUCUUACCCUUUACCUUUUGAGUCUCAGGAUGUCGCCUUACUAAUCCUUAUCUUGAUCUCAGCUAACUAUUACCUUUUGAGUCUCUAGUUAUUAAAUAAAAGUUACCGGUCAUUCACUAUAUUCCAUGGUUAGCAUGGAAAGAUAAUUAACUUCAAAUUACUGUUGUUUUUAUCUUUUCCUAGUCACUACUCCUCUUUUGGAGUAAGUAGCUAUAAUCUAGGUAGGAUCUUAACGUUGGCCACCGCUAAGAAAUCUAUUAUAGUGAAGAUAAAGCAAUGCAUACCAUGGGUAUUGGGUCAGAUCAACAAUUGCGCUUCCCCUACUUCGCCAAUCCAUCAGGGUUUCCACAACCCUAGCUAUGGAUUUUAGCCGCUUAUGAUUGUGAAGAAAUCAACAACAUUCAUAGUUGAAAGCAUAGAUGAAAUCACAAUAAGAAGAAGUGUAAAAGCCCACAACCGUAACUGAAUUAAUCAACUGAAGUCAAUAUAAGAUAAUCCCAAGAUUAAAAUCAUAUCUUGGAAUCAAAAUAUGUUUGUGAAUAUCAAAAGUAUGUAACUCUGACUAAAAAAUACAUAAAGGGUAUUUAUAGUACAUGAGGAAACCCUAAAACCAAAGCCCGAAUGAAAUAGGAGAAAAUUGAGUUGGUGGCCACCUGCUCUCUGUACCCGUGGUUUGACACAAGGUGCAUGUAGUACCUGUGGUCAUCACACAGGGCACAGGUUCAAGCCAUUGGUGCAACUCCCGCAGCCUAGCUCUCGGGAUUUCGACCUCUGGCACCUUCUUUGUCCACCUGCGGUCUGUAAGUCCUACAUGCAGUCCGUAUGUUUCCUUGAUAGGUGCCAGGAGUCAUAUUUUCAGCUUUUUUUCACUUCUUGAACAUGAUUUGAUCACGAACAAUCUAGAAAAUAUCCCAAAUAUGCUCCAAAAACUGGCCAAAAAUACCCUUUUUCACGAACUUAGCAUCUGAAAUAUGAUUUUCUGCAAAACAUACCCAAAACGGAUUAUAUAUAACAAAAUAACCUCAAAAGCCUGCAUAUUUUCCUAAUUUUAAUCGUUAAAAGUGUCAUAUUUCUAUAGCACAUUAAUACCCUCAACUUAGAAUGAUUGCAUGUCCUCCAGCAAUAAAAUACAAUAAAACAAAAACGACGCUUAACUAGGAAAAACUAAGUUAUUCGAGGCACGCAAUCAAUACUUAAAUCUCAAAACACAACACUUUGUCCAAUCUCACCUUUCAAAACCAACUUUGUAUGAACAUGAAGCACAACAAUGUGACAUAAUAGGAUCAAGGUAUGACAAUUACAUUAGCAACAGGAAACCACUCAUAUAUACAAAUUACACUAUCCAAACAAGCAAAUAGUUGGCAAUAUGAGUCAAGUUCCCUCACAACAAGGAUGCCUCACUCACUAAUAUGAAAUCAUGCAUGUUAAUGCAGGGACAGUCAAGAGACACUCGCACUCAGAAGAGAAUUUCCAAUCAAUGCAUGUCAAAUAUCAUAUGUUUGCCCUUAUUUUUCUUACCUUAGCAUUCAGAUAGUCACGUUAGGAUCACUAUAGGACUUUUCUCAGCUUGUAAUGUAGGCUUAAGCCUCUUUGGCACUACACCAACCUUGGGGUCUCACUUAUUAACCCAUUUUCGUUUAUUUUCGCCCUUAUUUCUCUCUUUUAUUGCACAUUCAGGUUGGGUGUGGUCUUUGAUUCUUUCUUUUUCUCUUUUCACAUUUUUUCUUUUCUUUUUCUUUUUCUUUUUCUUUUUCUUUUCCUUUUCCUUUUCCUUUUCCUUUUCCUUUUCCUUUUCCUUUUCCUUUUCCUUUUUUUUCUUUUUCUUUUUCUUUCUACCACACCCAACCCUACUAACUUUUUCUCUUAUUUUACCUUUUUUCAUACUCAUUUUACGCUACACACCUCUAUGAUAGCCACCAUCAACUUAAGCAUUUUGCCUGAGUUGAGGUGCACAAUUUCCAAGGAGGAACAAGGUCAAAAUAGGUUCAUUGUAAGAUAAAUGGGAAGGUAAAUGGUGAAACAAGAAAAAUAGGCAUUCAGGCUCAAAAUUGGGAUCAAGAGAUAUAAUUCACACAUGAAAGGUCAUGUAGGGCUAGGCUAAAACUGGACUAAUAUCAAAUACGGCCUAUGAUUCUUUCCUAACGGACUAUCCUUCAACCUAGGCAAGACUAACCUAGCAAGUUCUGAAUUCAACACACAAAGGAAACUGGUAAUAUCUUACUCGCACAUAGCACAGAGUCAACAUCACCGACUACUACUUAUCCAAUUUAUGCAAUUGUUAGCAAGUGAUUAUCAUGUUCCUAAUCUUAAUUUCAUAACAAGAUCCAUAAUAUUCACAAAUAUAUAAAUUCACACAGUUUUAAAACAUAAAUUUUUUUAAGGGGUAUUAGAAAUUAGUCAAAAACAUGAAAACUGCCCUCAUAACUUAAAAAUCUCCUAAUUUCCCACAAAACAUCAUGAAACAAAAUUCAAUACACCUAAAAAUGCUGGCUCUACUAGGAACAAGACUCCGAAAAAAAGAGGCACAGCAACAAAAAUCCUAAGAGGACAUCAAAACCCGCAAAUAAUCCAUCUCUCCCCCAACUUAAAAUCAUGCAUUGUCCCCAAUGCAUCAAACCUCUACAAAAUAAGAGUGUUAGAAACUUACCUGCGGCUCCAUAGGUGCGAAGAUUUGACAUCAAUCAUGAACACAAAUAUAAACAAUAAAAUACCUUGGGUUGCCUCCCAAAAAGUGCCUAAUUUACUAUCGCGGCACAACUCAGUUUUCAUGGCUACUCAGACUUCCGCAAGGUCCAUUUUAGCACAAACUCUUACUUCUUCUAGGUUUUCCAUGUAGUGUUUCACUUGCUUCCCGUUCACUUUAAAUAGGAAAUCACCAUCAUGCUUUACCUCAAUAGCACCAUAUGGGAAUACCUUAACCACAGUGAAUGGUCCAAUUCAGCUUGCCAGAAAACAAGCGUAGUCUUGAAUUGUACAACAAGACCAAAUUACUGGGUUUGAAUAUACUCUUCUCAAUCUUCUUGUCAUGGUACAACUUCAUUCUUUCUUUGUAUAUGGACGAGCUCUCAUAAGCAUGGAGUCGGAAUUCAUCCAACUCCUUCACCUUACUCAACCUCAAGUUUGUGGCAUAACGCUACUUAAAAUUUAGCAUUUUUACCACCUAUAGUGUCUUAUGCUCAAGAUCAACUGAUAAGUGGAAUGCUUUGACAUACAUAAGUUGAUAUAAAGAGGAAUUUAUGGGGGUCUUAUAGGCUAUUGGUAGGCCCACAAUGCAUUAUUUAACUUUCUAGACCAGUCAGUCCUGUUGGCAUUCACAGUCUUCACCAAUAUGGACUUUAUUUCUCUAUUGGAGACUUCCACUUGCCCACUCAUCUGAGAAUGGUAAGAUGUUGCCACCUUAUUUCUUACCCCAUAUCUAUCAAGUAGUGCUUUGAACAAGCGGUUGUAAAAGUAUUACCCACCAUUACUAUAAUAACACGUGGAGUGCCAAAUCUAAAAAAGAUGGUCCUCUUCAAAAAGAUAGUGACACUCUAACCUUCAUAGUCUUGAAGAGCAACCGCCUUCACCUACUUUGAUACAUAGUCAACUGCUACCAGAAUGUACCUCAUGCCAUAGGAACUUAAAAACAGGAAUAUGAAAUUAAUUUCCCACACGUUAAACAACUUUAACUCCAGAAUGGGUGUCAUGGGGAGUUCCCAGCACCAUGAAAUGUUGCCUUGAUGCUAGCACUGGUCACAGGCUUUUGAAAAAUCAUGAGUAUCCUUGUAAAUUAAAGGCCAGUAGAACCCACACUGUAGAAUUUUAUGGGUUAUGCAUGUGCCACUGUGGUGACCCCCAAUUGGCGAAUAAUGACAAGCUUUCAGAAUGCUCAUCAUCUCCAUCUCUGAAAUGCAUCUUUGAACCACACCAUCAACGUAAACCUUGAUCAAAUAUGACUCAUCCCAAAAGUAUUUCCUUACCCCGUGCAUAAAUCUCUGUCACUACUAGAAGGAUAGAUCUUCUGGGAUAAGGUUGUUUGCCAGAAAGUUGGCAAAAUCAGCAAACUAGGAAAUCAAAUCAUGAGAUAUUGACAAAACUUGCUCAUCAAGAAAAAUAUCAUCAAUCUUAAGAUUAUCCCCUAGGUUCUGUAUAGUCUCCUCCUCAAGUCUGGAUAAGUGGUAUGCAACUUUAUUUUUUUCCCAUUUUGAUCCUUAACUUUAAAAUCAAACUCUUGCAGCAAAACAACCCAACGAAUCAAUAUGGCUAUGGCAUUCUUCUUUUCCAUCAAGUACCUCAAGACUGCAUGGUCGGUGUGCACUAUAACCUUAGUCCCAAUCACAUAAGACAAAAAAUUUUCAAAAGCAAAAAUCACCGCAAGUAGCUCCUGCUCUGUAAUUGUACAAUUUUUUUGUGUGGGGUUUAAAGUUUUGCUAACUCACUAGAUGGGAUAAAGUAUCUUUUCUCUUCUUUGGCCAAGAACAACUCUCAAGGCCACUCCGCUCACAUCACACACUACCUUAAAAGAUGUAUACUAAUCAGGAGACACAAUGAUAGGUGCUGAAAUCUAUCGUCCUUUAGGCAUUUGAAAGUCUUUAGACAAUUAUCAUCGAACACAAAUUUCGCCUCCUUCUCUAAAAGCUUGCAAAGAGGACUUGUAAUUUUAGAGAAGCCCUUGAUGAACCUUUUAUGAAAACCUACCUGACCUAGAAAUCUUUAUAUGCCUCUAACUUAUAUUGACAACAAUAACUUCUCAAUCACCUCAAUCUUUGUUUUUUCCACCUCAAUACUAUGAAUAGAGAUAUUGUGCCCUAGAACUAUUUCUUAUUUCACCAUAAAGUGGCAUUUUUCCCAGUUUAGUACCAAGUUGCACUCUUCACAUCUCUACAGUACACUGGCCAAAUAGGCUAAGAAACCAUCAAAUAAGUCCACAGCCACUGAUAAGUCAUCCAUGAAUACUUCAAUAGUGUCUUCCAUCAUGUUUUAGAAUUUGGACAUCAUACAUCUCUGAAAGGUGGCCGGUGCAUUACACAAUUCGAAUGGUAUCCACUUGAAUGCAAAGGUUCCAUAGGGGCAAGUAAAUAUAGUCUUUUCUUGGUCUUCAGGGGAAAUCAUGAUUUGAUUGUAGCACGAAUGCCCGUUAAGAAAAUAGUACCAACCCCUGCUUGCUAAUCUAUCCAACAUCUGAUCCAUGAACGACGCCGGAAAGUGGUCCUUUUAUGUCCACUCAUUUAGUUUUCUGGAGUCCAUGCAUACUCUCCACCCAGUAACUUGCCUUAUUGGUUCUAAUUUAUCCUUCUAAUUUGGAACCAUUGUGAUUCUUUCUUUCUUUGGCAUGUGAUGAAUCAGGCUCACCUACUUGUUAUCUGUAAUAGGAAAAACCAUUUUUGCAUCUUGUCCGACUCAAGCUGUAUCUUGUAUGUGCAUAUGCCUGGUGGAAUCCCCAUAAUGUCUGCAAUAGUCCACUCUAUAGCUCUUUUAAACUUUCAUAAUACCGAUAUCAAAGUUUCCACCUGUGCUCCUACCAGAUUUGUUUUGAUAAUUACCGGUAAAGAAUUGUUAGCCCCCAAGAACGCAUACUGCAAAUGAGGUGGAAGGGCUUUCAAUUCCAAUACCAGUUAUUCUUCAAUCUAUGGUCUUGCAGGCGGUGUGGUUCUUUUCUAAAAGUCAAAAUCUAGCUUCUUAGGGGCAUAUUUGUAAAGACACACUCUAUGUAAUGUACUAAUCAUCUCAUCAUAGUCAUUUAUCCGAUCACUCUCGAAGUUCAUAAUCACUAUUGUUAAUGUUUCUACCCUUAAUCCUUCCUCAAUAGGUAUAUCCAUUGCAACCCCAUCAUCAUCUACUGCAUCAAUCACUGCUACCACUCUUAUAUAAUCAGGUUGUUAAACUAUCAUGCAUGUAUUCAACACUUUCUGCUUAUCAUUCCAUUUGAAAGUGAUCUCUUCUAGGUCAAUAUCAAUUAAUACCCAGUCAUUGGAUAGAAAAAGUCUCGCCAAUAUGAUUGGAGAGUGAGCAUCCACUUCACAAUCUAAAAUCAUGAAAUCUUCUGAAUAAUCGAAUGAUGCCACCUUUACUUCUACAUUGCGCACAAUACCCACUGGCUUUUUAACAGAUGAAUCAUCCAUCAACAACCUUGCAGAUAUAAUCUUGAGUUCUCUUAACCCCAUUACCUUGUAUAUCACCAGUGGCAUUAUAUUUAUUCCUGCUCGCGUAUUCAUAGAGCCUGAUAAAUGUCAUAAGGCCAAUAGAACUUGGAAUGGUAACUGCACCUGGGUCUCCCUUCUUUUAUAUUGAUGUGCAUAAAAACUUGUGCUAUUAGAUCUUGAAGCUCUUCUGCCACCUAGUCUUCAUCAUCAUCACUUCCAAAAUCAUUAUCACUACAAGUCAGUUGUUUAAAUUUAGAUUGAGGUGACUUAUCUACAUCAAUAUAUUCCUUUUGUGGCUCAUUAGUAGAAGAAAAAAAUUGUUCGACAGGUGGAGAAUAACUCAUCGUGUUAAUAACCAGGUAAUAAACCAGUGUUAAAGGAUACGACAUAUUGUCUCUAGGAAGUAUUCCUGAUUGUCUCUCAGCUAAAGUAACAGAGAUUUGCUAAUACUGCUGCUUCAGCUGCCUGACAGCAGUUGCAUAUGACUCAACCUUUGGGGACAAUCCUAAAACAUUGUCCUUAAGUUCUUUAAGGCAAGCCUCUUGACUCUCUUGGCCGUUCAUCAGCUUAGCCAAUAUCUCUUUUCUUCUCAAUUUGGUAUCUCGCCUUUCAGGAGAAAUGUGUCUAUCUUUAUCUUAAUAGUUUCGACCUUGAUUCCCUUGCCCUUGGGCUUGAAAACCUGCCAACUGAUGAUCCACAUACUUUGCCUCCUCCACAAACUCAGAUUCAUGCCUCCUAGAAGUUGCACCUUGCACCCUAAUUGUAUUAACCUUUUCAGAAUUUAUUGUUGUAAACUGCUUGGCCAACUCACUAAUGUAUGUCCUUAAUAGUGAAAUCUCAUGAGCUACAGCAUCCUUAACUACUCUCCGCUCGCCUGAAUCUCCAAUGGCAUAAAUGUCAGAACCUCUUUCAACCUUCCGAGUUUGCCACCUUUGGUUAGUUAAUAAGAUCUGAUUUAUAAUACACAAAGACAUCUCCUAUCGUAAUCUUAUUAAGGAUCUUCUGGAGAUAGUGUCUGCCAUUGCUAUGAAACUGAUAGGCAGGGCUCUAUAGAAGAUCUCCAACAGGCUUGUCCCUGAAAUCAUGUGGGUGGGCACCAUACUAAACUUCUUCUUGAGACUGAACAAUGCCUCAUACGUAAAUUCUGAUUGCAGUUGCCUGAAGUUAUAAAUCUCAUCCUUGAGCUGUAAUCCCCUGGAUGGAGGAAAGAAUUUGUUAUAGAACUGUCAACAUAACUCUCUCCAUGUAGUGAUAGACCCUCUUGGAAGUUCCUCUAGCCAUAAUGAUUCUUCUUCCGUAAGCAAAAAAGGAAAUACCUUCAGUCUCAGUGCCUCCUGAUCUACCCUAGGUAUGGUAUAUGAAGUGCAGAUUCCAAUAAAAUUUUCCAGAUAUAUAAUUGCGUCGUCUGCAGCCAACCCUACAAAUAUGCCCUUUAAGUACAGGAGUCGCAGCACUAAAAAUAUUGAACUUGACAUCAGGGGGCAAAAUAGAAGAAACGAUAGAUCCAGUCUCUGUCGGCUCACUAUAUCCCAGAUCUUUUUCAUCGUCUUCAUACGGCUGAACAUACUGAUAUGUAGGGAUAACUUAAGGCCGGUCUCUUCUGUUUCUAUUCUAAUUUUCAUUGAGUAUUGGUCGGUGGUCUGCUUUUUGUCUCUGCUCAGCUAACUCUACCUCCCAAGCUAUGAAUUGAGCUUCUUCAACUACCCUCCUCUCAUUCUCUGCUUGAGCCAAAAAAUGAUCGGUCUGUCAAUCAACUAUAUCUUGUACUCCUUCGGAAGGUGGGGGAAGCAAAUCAUCUCUUUUUGACUCCGACAUCCUACUAGGUGUCUGUAGGAUCCUCUCAAAAUUUAAAUUUCAUGGGAGUAAGGCAUUUCCUCUACUCUGUGAGCUACGCAUACACCGACGUAUGCCUAACUAAGAAUAAAAAAAAUGAAGACUGCAAUGCCUUUAAUUUACAAAUCAACACCAUACUCCUCUGCAACAGCGCUAAAUUUUUUAUGACGUCUAAACAACAGCUCCUAUCAGAUGAUGAUACGGUCGCUGUUAAAAUAUAGUAACCCAACUAGGUUGGGGUCAAAUCCCAAGGGAACACGUGGUUUGUGGAUCUUGACAAUUGUAGUCAACGAGAGGAACAAGAAAAGUAAAUAGAGGAGAAGGGUUGGAUGGUAGAAUUGAACAAAGAGAAUGAAAUUAAAUUAUGUCAAUACUAUUAUGACAUUACAAUAACCAAAACUCAUCCAGAAGCCUCCACUGAAUACUAACUAUCUAGGUCGGGACAAGGCCCCCGGCCAGACCAUAAACUGAAAGACUCAACAUAUAAGUAAAUGACUUCUGAAAGAUGGAUGGAUCACCAAUUCUGUCAGGUCCCAAAUGUUAACCUGAUGUGAUGGACCAUAGGACUAUACCGCCGAACCUGAAAUAUGAGGGGUCACUACUUGAAAAGUAUUAGUAAGUAGAACAAUCUAAAAAUAACAUAUAUUUCAUGUAAAAUAAGUGAGAACAUGAGAUUUAGGAUAGUCCCACAUACCUUGUAAUGAUGAAAAUGUAGAGUAAUUUGACCCUUGGAGCUUAAAAUCCUCAACCCUAGGUAGUUUCUCUUCUCUUGCUUAAGAAAAGAUGAUAUGGGAAUUUUAGAGAGGUAAAAUAAUCGAUGUUAUAUCGUAAAAUAGAUAGAAAUAGGUUAAUAUAGUGUUUAGGGUUCGUUUAUAAGUGAAAGGAUUUAAUACCCCUUAUGCCAAGUCAACAAAUCCAAAAAUUGAUGAAUUUAAAACAUCAGUGGGUCGCAGAGGGUAAUCUCUACAAUAAGCUCCGUGUCUCGCUGCUAUCGCAGACGCUUACUGCCUCCUCACAAAAAUGCUUAUAACUUUUUGCUUGGGUAUCAGAUUAAGGAAAGAUCGAAUGCGUUGGAAAGAGGACACAUUUAUCUAUGAUUUGAUGGGUCUUGAGCCUCAAAAUUACUCAUAUUCUAGAAGUUAUAUUCAUCCAAAGUUGACCCUGCUAGAAUCGAAUUCCAAAAUUUAGUCGAUAAUGAAAGUUCUUAACUCUACUUCACUCUAAGUGUUUACUACAAACAUUAUUCCCCUCAAAGAAAAUUUUCACACUAAGAUAAUGAUCAUGACACUUAUAUUUAAAAAGAAAACAAUUGCAUUCAAGUUUAUACACGUAGAAACAAUGGUUCAAAUUCUAGCCCAAAAAUGUGGGGUGUUACAUUUUGAGUUUCAGGAUGUCGCCUUACUAACCCUUAUUGAUCCUAGUUAACUAUUACCUUUUGAGUCUCUAGUUAUUAGAUGAAAGUUAAUGGUCAUUCACUAUAUUCCAUGAUUAGCAUGGAUCGACAAUUAACUUCAAAUUACUGUUGUCUUUAUUUUUUCCUAGUCACUACUCUUCUUUUGGAGUAAGUAGCAAUAAUAUAGGUGAUAUAUCAACGUUGGCCAUCACUAAGAAAUUUAUUAUAGUGAAGAUAAAGCAAUGCAUGCCAUGGGUAUUGGUUCAGAUCAAUAAUUGUACUUCCCCUACUUCGUCAAUCUGUCAGGGUUUCCACAACCCUAGCUAUGGGUUUUAGCUACUCAUGAUUAUGAAGAAAUCAACAACAUUCAUAGUUGAAAGCAUAUAUGAAAUCACAAUAAAAAGAAGUGUAAAAACCCACAACCGUAACUGAAUUAAUCAACUGAAGUCAAUACAAGAUAAUCCCAAGAUUAAAAUCGGAUCUUGGAAUUAAAAUAUGUUUGUGAAUAUCGAAAGUGUGUAACUCUAACUAAAAAGUACAUAAAGGGUAUUUAUAGUACAUGAGAAAACCCAAAAACCAAAGCCCGAACGAAAUAGAAGAAAACUGGGUCGGUGGCCACCUACGGUCUGACACAGGGUGCAUGUGCAGGCCACAGGUGCAACUCUUGUAGCCUAGCUCUCGAGAUUUCAACCUAUGGCACCUAAUUUGUCCGCCUGCGGUCUGUAGGUCCUACAUGUGGUUCGUAGGUUGCCUUGGUAGGUGUCGGGAGUUAUCUUUUCAGCUCCUUUUCACUUUUCGAACAUAUAUUGAUCACGAAUAAGCUGGAAAACAUCCUGAAUAUCCAUAAUUGCUCCAAAAAGUAGCCGAAAACACCUUUUUUGCCUUUUUUAUGAACUUAAUAUCCAAAACACGAUUUCCUGCAAAACAUAUCCAAAACGAAUCAUAUCUAACAAAAUAGCCUCAGAACCUACAUAUUUUCCUCGUUUUAAGCAACGAAAGUACUAUAAUUUUGUAGCACAUCAUGUAUCAAUGUUUAAUAGGUUAAAGGUACUAUUCAUAGGAUGUAGAGGGGUUGGCCAACUGGGUCAGAUGAGAUUUCGGUGGAUUUCUGGAAGAGACUGGCAGGACAGGUUUAGAGUGGUUGACAAGUUUGUUUAACAACAUUUUUAGGGUGUCACAGAUGCCUGAAGUUUGGAGAUGGAGUAUGAUAAUUCCUUUAUAUGAGAAUAAAAAGGACAUUCAGAGUUGUAACAACUAUAGGAGUAUCAAGUUGGUGAGUCAUACUAUGAAGGUUUGAAAAAGGGUGGUAAAGUUGGGGCUGAGGAUCGUAACUAUUUUUGAGAAUUAGUUCAAUUCCAUACCAAGUCAUUCGACUACUAAGGUCAUUCACCUCGUGAGAAGAUUUGGUGGAGCAGUUUAAAAAGAGAAGGAAGAACUUGCAGAUAGUGUUCAUUAAUCUUCAGAAGACGUAUGACAAAGUCCCGAGAGAGAUUUUGUGGGGGUGCUUGGAGGAUAUAGAGGUGUAUGUGGAGUAUACUAGGUCGAUUUAGUACAUGAUCGAUGAUGCGAAGACUCAUGUGAGGACGGCAGAAGAAAAUUCGGAACACUUUUCUAUUUUGACAGGGUUGCACCAGAGAUUGACUUUUAGCCUAUUUUUAUUUGCCUUGGUGAUGGAUGUUUUGAUGUGGAGCAUUCAUUAGGAGGUGCCUUAGUAUAUAUUUGUUGCUGAUGAUGUUGUACUGAUUGAUGAGACUUAGAGAGAAGUUAAUGAUCAGUUGGAGGUUUGGAGAUAGACCCUUGAGUCCAAAGGAUUUAGGCUGAACAGGAUCAAGAUAGAGUAUUUGGAAUGUAAAUUUAGUGAUUUGUCGCAUAAGGAUGACGUGGUAGUAAAUCUGGAUUCUCAUGUCAUUCAAAAAAGAAAGAGUUUCAUGUAUCUUGGGUUUAUGAUUCAGCGGAAUAGUAAGUUUUAGGAGGAUAUCACGCAUCAUUUUGGUACAGGGUGGUUGAAAUAGAGGCUUACUUCGAGAGUCUUGUGUGAUAAGAAGGUGCCUCCUAAGAUUAAAGGUAAAUUCUACAUAUGGCAGUCUGAUCGGCUAUGUUGUAUGGAGCAAAGUGUUGUCCAGUUAGGAACUUUUAUAUUCAAAAGUUAAAAAUGGCGAAGAUGAGGAUGUUGCGGUGGAUGUGUGAACUUACUAGGAGGGAUAGGGUUAUAAAUGAGAUUGGUCAGGAGAAUGUGGGAGUGUUUGGUGGAGGACAAGAUGCAAGAAUUAAGGUUGUGAUGGUUCAGAAAUAUGAUAAGGAAGGGCACGGAUGCUCCAGUACGAAGGUGUGAGGGACUGAUUAUGUAUGGUUUUAGGCAGGGUAUUGGUAGGUCGAAGAAAUAUUAAAGGGAAAUUACUAGGCAUGACAUGGAGUAGUUACAGCUUACGGAGAAUAUGACCCUUGAUAGGAAUGUGUGUAGGCCACAAAUUAGGGUAGAGAGUUAGUAGGUAGGAGUACGUCGGUUAUAGUAAGGAAAAGUGCUUUGUUUGUAUCUGUGUUUGUAGUUUCUUGUAGUACCUUGUUCGUGGUGUCUGGUGAUGUCUAUGAUUUUUGAAUAGUUAGUUUAUAGUAUUACCUUGUUGGUGUUUAGUUUUCUUUACUAUCUAGCGGUGUGGUAUCCAUUUUAAUUGUUUGCUUUUAUGUUUUUUCUUUGUUAUAAUGUUAUUUGUCCUGAGCUGAGGGUACAUUGAAAACAGCAUCUCUACUUCAUAUGAGAUAGUGGUAUGCACUACGUAAACUUUACCUCCCUCCUCCCUCAAACAUCACUUUGUGGAAAUACACAGGGUAUGUUUUUGUUGUUGUAUGUGCUAUCAUUACUACAACAAAUAUGAUGGAGUGUUAUUUUCUACAAUAACUAACUUAAAAUAAAGGACACCUUUGUUCAUAUUAAUUAAGAGGGGAUAUCUUUUACCUUUAACUUCUCAGUGCAUUCAACUUAAUUAAUUACCAAGCACCAACAUAACAAAUAAAUAAUUUUCUAGAGAAAAUAUAAAAUGAAUGUGUUGCCUCAUACUUUAGCUCUUUGUUUUUGUUUGAUAAGGGCGGCUAAGCAAAUUAGUGGCUCAUCACCAAAUUCAAAUGAAGGGAUUAAGUUUUUAAGGAAAAAAAAGGGAUAAGUACAGAAAUAGCACUUCGAUGCACAAAAUUGCCACUGAAUAGCCAUACAAUUUCAUUUUCCUCCUUUUGGCCUUUUUGGUUGCCUUCGUUGCUUAUCUUAUUUUCUUCUUAUUAUUUUUUAAAUUUUGCUAUCCAUAGUUUUUUAAGAAAAGAAUAUGGAUAAAUUUACCUUUAACUUCAUAAAAUAAUUUCAUGUAAUUGACACAUAUUAUUGGUGGUGUUGGAAAAAUAUCAACCAUGAAAUACUCCAAAAGUAAAUUUGACAACAUCUAGAAAUAUUACUCCCAUGUGUGCUUGCAUGUAUCUCAAACAUCUCCACCUCCUCACACAUGUCGUAUCACACAUCCUUUUCUCCCUUAUUUCUAAUCUAUUUCGCUCUCAGUUUUCCUUCACCCGCAUUUAUACCCUCCAUUAAUUGAUACUCUCCUUCCUUUUCUUUUGCAACAAAAAUGGUUGAUCAACAACAAUCAACCUACUGUCUUCGAUGCAUGUUUGAUAGCAGAUACAUAUAUCUUUGAUAUCUCAAACACACACACACACAUCUCUCUAUAUAUAUAUGUGUGUGUGUGUAUGUGUGUACACACACAUACAUAUUAUAAAAUAAUUAUACAAUUUAUAUACAUAUCUUAUAUAUAUAUAUAUAUAUAUAUAUAUAUAUAUAACAAUGAUAUAUAUACAUAUAUAUAUAUAUACACAACAAUGAUAUCAAUAUUAUUUUUAUAUUAUAUAGAGAAAAUGGCCAAAAGUCCCCCAACCUUUAUCCCAAAUUCCAACUACACACUUAUACUUUGCAGGGAUCCUAUGACCCCCUGAGCUAUUUUAAACUGAAAUAUUUACACCCCUAAAAGCUCAUGCUCAGAUAUUAUUUCAGCCAAUGAGCUGCACGUCAUGUCAUGUCAUUGCCACAUUAUUUUAUAAAUUUUUUAUCAAAAAAGUUAAUUAUUUUACUUUAAUUAUUUUAAUCUCAAUUCAUUUUCCCCUUUCUCUUCAUCUUCUUUUCUUCAAUCUCAAUCCAUUUUUCCCCUUUCUCUUCAUCUUCUUUUCUUCAAUCUCAAAAGCCAAAAUGAACUCGUUAAAUUUUCUUUACUUUCUCUUUCUAUCAUUUUCAUCAAUUUCAGAAAUCAAAGAAUACCCAUUUGUCAAUCUUUUUUCUUUUUCUUUUAUUUUUUUUUAAUCUAUCAACUAUGAAAAUUGAUGUUGAAUUUAUGAUUGUACAAGAUUUUUUGUGCUAAUUUUUCAUAAUUUCCUGCGAAUACCCACCUGAUUUAUUUUGUGAAUACCCACCUGAUUUGGUGCUGAUUUUUUAAUUUCUUGAAAUUUAAGAAAUGUGUGUUGCGUGUGUAAGGGUUGAUGUUUUUCAAUUCAAGUGAAGUAAGUUUGUGUGUGUUUUUUGUCUCUUAUGUGUGUGUAAAUUUGAAUAUGUAUCGGGUCAGCUGUGUGUUUUCUGUCAAUGAAAAAAUGAGGAGUGAUGUGCAAUGUUGAGAUUGCAUGUUUGUGUGUUGUUUGAUCUUUGUUGUCGGUGAAUAAUUACUCAUGCUGGUUUGUUGUCGAUUCUUUGAUUAUGAACUGUGUGUUGUCGAUUCUUUGAUUAUGAACUGUGUGAUGAAGUCGAAAAUAAUAAACAAUAUUGAAUUUAAAAAUGUUCGACAACCUUAAAGAGGGAAACAAUGACCAUAUCAAUUAUUAAAUUUCCGACGAUCUUAAAUCCGGAAACAGCGAAUAAUACCAAUUUUAAGAUUUUCAACGACCUUGAAGCCGGAAACAAUGAACAAUACCGAAUUUAAAAUUUUCGAUCACCUUAAAAUCGGAAAUAAUAUAGAAUUUUAAAAAUUUUGAUGACCUUGAAGUCGAAAAUAAUGGACAAUACUCAUUUUAAAAUUUACGACGACCUUGAAGUCAAAAAUAAUGAACAAUUUCGAUUUUAAAAUUUUCAAUGAUCUUGAAGUCGAAAAUAAUAAACAACAUUGAAUUUAAAAUUUUCGACAAUCUUGAAGUGGAAAUCAAUGAACAAUAUUAAUUUUUAAAUUUUCGACGAUCUUAAAUCCUGAAACAACGAAGAAUAUCAAUUUUAAAAAUUUCGACGACCUUGAAGACGGAAACAAUGAACAAUACCGAAUUGAAAAUUUACAAUAACCUUAAAGUCGGAAACAAUAGAGAAUUUUAAAAUUUUCAGCGACCUUCAAGUCGGAAGCAAUGGACAAUACUUAUUUUAAAAUUUACGACGACUUUGAAGUCGUAAAUAAUGGACAAUAUCGAUUUUAAAAUUUCGACAACCUUGAAGUUGGAAACAAUGAACAAUACCCAUCUUGAAAUUUUCGACGAAUUUAAAGUCGAAAUCAAUCGAUUUUGUGCUUGGAGAUGAGGAAAAUGAUGAAUUAAUUUUUGAUGUCAUUGAUGAGUUCUUGGAUGUCAUUGUUUGUAAGAAGAAGAAGAAGAAGAAGAAGAAGAAGAAGAAGAAGAAGAAAGAAAGAAAAUGAAAAGAAAAAGAAUAAUUGAAAAUGAAUAAAGAAAAUAAAGAAGUAUUAAAAAAAAUCGUUCUCACUCUCUUUAAAGAGAGUGAAACACACUCUCUUUCCAUGUCAGCGUUCAGGGGGGUAAUAUUUUCACUUUAAAAUAAUUCAGGGGGGGUCAUAGGACCCCGCAAAGUAUAAGUGUGUAGUUAGAAUUUCGGCUAAAAGUUGGAGGGAUAAUAGACCAUUUUCUCUAUUAUAUACAAUAAUGAUAUAAUUUUUAUACUAAUCAUAUACAAAUACAUUCUAUAUGAUAAUUGUACAGUUUUUGUAUUGUUUGAUAGCACAUACAUAUAUCUUUGAUAUCACACACACAUCUCUCGUUCUCUCUCUCUCUCUCUCUCUCUCUCUCUAUAUAUAUAUAUAUAUAUAUUAAAACAAUUAUACGAUUUAUAUAAAUAUCUUAUACAUAUAUACACAUAUUCUACACAACAAUAAUAUAAUUUUUACACAAAUCAUAUACAAAUACAUAUUCUAUAUAAUAAUUAUACAAUUCUUAUAUACAUCGUAUACAACUUUUAGCUACAACAAUUAUCCAGCUACAUAUUCUAUAUAGCAAUGAUAUAAUCUAUAUACAUAUACAUAUUAUAUACAACAACUACACGGUUUCUAUACACAUCUUAUCAGUUUCUAUACAUAUCUUUUAAAGAUACGUAUUAUAUACAAUAACUAUAUAGUUCUAUACACGUUCUAUACAGUUUUUUUAAAAUAGCCAAUGGGUGAAAUUAUUUUAGCCGAGCGGCUAUCCCAUGACAUUACUUUGAAAAUGGUCAUUUUGGUGGGGUAAAUCUCAGGAAUAGACUCGAAUUGGGAUGACUUUCAAAUUUUAGCCCCAAAUAAAAAAGUUUCCUUAAAAUAUUCUUUACCUAUUAACUAAUAUUUUUUUGGAUGAAAUUGUCCCUGACCAAUAGAGUAUUACAUAAAUAUCCUCAUAAUGGAUACCAAUUCCAUAUUUAUGUCUUUCAACUUUUUUUUUUUCUCUUUUUAAUUUUUAUUUUUUCUUUUCUCUUUUUAUUUUUGAUUUUUCUCAACCCUUAUUUUUUUCCUCUCAAUUUCUUUUUUCAUAUUUUUUAUUUUACUUUGAUUUUUUAUUUUUUCUUUCCUCUUUUUUUUUUUUGUUCUUUUUAGUUUUUCUCAACCCUUACUUUUUUUCUUUACACCUCUCAACAUCUACUUUUAUAAAAAAAAAUACUUUUUUAUUUUUCUUUGAUUUUUAUUUUUUAUUUUAAAAUUUUUCUCGACCUUUAUUUUUAUUUAAUAUUUUUUUAAUUUUUAUCAACCUUUAUUUUUUUCAUUCUCUCUCAACUUCUACAUUUUCUUUGAUUUUUAUUUUUUUAAUAUUUUUCUUCAUUUUCUUUUUUUCUGCAAUUUUUAUUAUUUUUAUUCUUUUCUUCAAUUAUUUCCAUUCAGUUACAUUUUAUGAGCAAGAGUUGACACUAUCACAUUGUAAAGACAAGAUUUAUGACUUUUAAACAACAAGCUACGUUUCAUAUGCAAGAGUUGACACUACCACAUUGUAGAGGCAAGACUUAUGACUUUCAAGCAACAAGUUAUGUUUCAUGGGCAAGAGUUGACACUACCACAUUAUAUUUUGAUUUAUGAGAUGUUUUAUAACUCUUACCUUAGAGGCAAGACAUAGCUCAGGGACUUUCAAACAACAAAUUAUGCCCCACGGGUAAAAGUUGACUCUACCACGUUAUGUUUUCAUUUAUGAGAUGUUCUACAACUAUUGUCUUAGAGGCAAGACUUAGCUCAAUGACUUUCAAACCACAAAUUAUGCCCCACGAGAAAGAGUUGACUCUACCACGUUAUGUUUUCAUUUAUGAGAUGUUCUACAACUAUUGCCUUAGAGGCAAGACUUAGCUCAAUGACUUUCAAACAAUAAAUUAUGCCCCACGGGCAACAGUUAACUCUACCACAUUAUAUUUUCAUUUAUGAGAUGUGCUACAACUAUUGCCUUAGAGGUAAAACUUAGCUCAUAGACUUUCAAACUAUAAAUUAUGCCCCACAGAAAAGAGUUGACUCUACGACGUUAUGUUUUCAUUUAUGAGAUGUUAUACAACUAUUAGCUUAGAGGCAAGACUUAGCUCAAGGACUUUCAAACAACAAAUUAUGCCCCACGGGCAAGAUUUGACACUACCACGUUAUGUUUUCAUUUAUGUGAUGUUCUACAACUAUUGCCUUAGAGAUAAGAUUUAGCUCAAGGACUUUCAAACUACAAAUUAUUCUCCACGGGCAAGAGUUGACACUAUCACAUUAUGUCUUCAUUUAUGAGAUGUUCUACAGCUCUUGUUUUAUAGGCAAGACUUAGCUCAGGUACUUUCAAAUAAUAAAUUAUGCCCCAUGGGCAAGAGUUGAUACUACCACGUUAUGUCUUCAUUUAUGAGAUAUUCUACAACUCUUGCCUUAGAGGCACGACUUAUCCCAAGAAUUUUCAAACAAGUUAUGUAUAUUGGGCAAGAGUCAACACUAACACAUUGUAAUUUUUACUUAUGAAAUGCUCUAUAACUCUUGUCUUAGAGGUAAGACUCAGUCUAAGGACCAUCAAACAAUAAGUUAUGUCCCACGGGUAAGAGUUGACACCACCACAUUGUAUAUUGAUUUAUGAGAUAUUUUAUAACUCUUCCAUCAGAGGUAAGACUUAGACGAAGGACUUUGAAGUAACAAUUUGUGCCCCAUGGGCAAGAGUUGACAUUACCACAUUGUGUUUUGAUUUAUGAGAUAUUCUAUAACUUCUGCAUUAGAGAGAAGACUUAAUCCAAGGACUUUCAAAUAACAAGUUAUGUCCCAUGGGUAAGAGUUGACACUAUCACAUUAUGUUUUGAUUUAUGAGAUGCUCUAUAACUCUUGCUUUAGAGACAAGACUUAGCCCAAGAACUUUUAAACAACAAGUUACUUUCCACGGAUAAGAUUUGACACUACUAUAUUGUCUUGAUUUAUGAGAAGUUUUAUAAAUCAAGAAUUUUGAAACAACAAGUUAUGCCCCGUGGGUACGAGUUGUUAUUACCGCAUUAUGUUUUGAUUUGUGAAAUGCUCUAUAACUCUUGCAUUAGAAGCUCAAAUCAGUCCAUGAACUCUCAAAUAACAAGUUACGCCGCAUGGGCCAUGGGAUAGAGUUGAUACUACCACAUCAUGUAUUGAUUUAUGAGAUAUUUUAUAACUUUUGCCUUAGAGGUAAAACUUAGCCAAUAAGUUACGCUCCGUGGACAAGAGUUGACACUAUCAUAUUGUGUCUUGAUUUAUGUGAUGUUCUAUUAGUCUUGCCUCUAAGACAAAACUCCAUCCAAGAACCUCCCAAAAGAACAAGUUACGCCCAAUGAACAAGUGUUAACACUACCACAUUGUUUUUUUAUUUAUGAGAUGUUUUAUAACUCUUGUCUUAGAAGCAUGACUUAACUCAAGGAUUUUCAAACAACAAGUUAUGCUCCACAAGCAAGAUUUGACACUACCACAUUUUGCCUUGAUUUAUGAGUUGUUCUACAAUUUUUGUCUCAGAGGCAAAACUUAUCUCAAUGAACUUUCUAACAACAAUUCAUGCCCUUAAAUUUGCUUUGAUGUCAAAAAAAAAAAAGAUCCAUUUACGGAUUAUUCACUUUUUUAUUUAUUAGCAAAAUAUAAUAGAAGUUGAGAAAAAAAAUGACCAAAUAAAAUAGAGAAAUAAAAAAAGAUUGAGAAAAACAAAGGCAAGAAAAAAAUAAAGAUUAAGAAAAAAGUAAAGAAUUAAAAAAAAUUGAGAAAAAUAAAAAUUAGAGGAAAAAAAUAAAAAUAAAGUUUGAGAAAAAUGAGGGAAAAAAAGAGAAAUGAUAAAAAACCAAAAAUAAAAGAAAAAUAAAGGUUGAGACAAAUGAAUUAAAAAAGAAAAGAAAAAAUUAAAGAAAUAGAUAAUGUUUGAGAAAAAAGAAAAAAAAAGUUGAGACAAAUGAAUUAAAACAUGAAAAUAAAAUUAAAUAAAAAAUAAAAAAAGUGAAAACAAUAAAAAUAAAAAUAGAAUUUGAGAGAUAAAUGAGUAUGAAAAGUUUAAAAAUAUUUGAGGUGUAAAGGGCAAAAUUAUACUUGGACUAUACUAAAAAGGGAAGGAAGGCUAAUUUUUAAAGAUUUUUCUUAUUGAAGUCAAAAAUUCAAAGUCACCCACUAUUGGGCUACAGCAUGUAAUUUCCUCAUUUGGUGGAAUUUCUUUGGUCCAAUGGAUAUAUGAUGUCCUUUUUUCCAAAAAAAAAUAAAUUAUAAGAUCUAUUUUUAAAAUUAUAUAAUUAAUUUCUUCUAAUAAUUUUCUUAAUUAAUAAUGCAAUCAAUACAAUCUUUCUUGAGAUAUAGUACUCUACAUAUCAAACUUCUUCUAAUAAUUUUUUUCUUUUAUAUAAAAUAUUUAUUUUUCUAUAAACAAUAGUUAAUAUUCUACGUUGCACGUGUGAUCAUAUCAAACCGUCUAUAAGUAUGAAAUGUAUAAAAGAAAAAUAAAUUAUUUAAAACAUAGCAAUUGAAUUUAUUUUAAUAACAGUUUGAACCCUAAAUUCUAGAAAAAAAUUAGGAACAAAAGAAACUAAAAAUGAUGAUUACACUCGAUUCUUUUUCAGUUUUUUUUUUUUUUCAAAAGAAAUAGUAAGAAUGUGCAAACAGUGCGACAAAUUAAAGAAGAAAAAUGGUUAAAGGUGCCAAAAUUGUUUCAUAACAGAGACUAAGGACAUACAGAAACCUAAACACCUGCUGCGUUUCAGAAGAUUUCAUUGCUCGAGUAUGCAGGUGUGAGAGACUAGUUAUGGAUGGUUUUAGGUGGAAGUGGUAAGCGGAAAAAUAUUUAAGGAAAGUGAUUAGACAUGACAUGGAGCAUUUAUAACUUACGAAGUAUAUGACUCUUGAUAGGAAGGUGUGGAGGACACAAAUUAGCGUAGAAGGUUCACUAUAAAAAAAAAAAAUAGCAUUUAGCGACGAAAUUUACCGACCGAUCAUAUUCCGUCAUUGAAUAGCGACGGAUCAGCAAUGAAAAAAUCAUUUUUGUCGCGAGCAUAGCAAGACCCAUUUUUCAAUUUACAGUUUGUACCAAAUUUUAGCUUUUUUGUCAAGGGUGUUGGUGAUUCUAAUGGAAAGGGGGAGUCUUGUAUGUAAAGAUUUUUGAUCUUCUGAAAGGGUGUAUCAUGAGAUUUUGUGCAUUUCAUCACGUGGAGAAAUAAAGCUGAAUAUUUAUGCUUUAGAAUUCUUUAACCCAUAGUGAUUCUUCUUAUAGUAAUACUAUUAUAUAGUGAGAUUUGUAUCUCUCUAGUACUGGAGAAUACACAGGUACUUUCUGAAGAUAUAUUAAGCUUUGCCUGUUUAAAAUUGUAUACAGGUUAUGUGUUGCGAUGAACGGGGCAUAGCACAAUGAUAUUAUAGGAGUGGGAAAUAGGAUUUGUAUGGACGAUAAAUUUAGGAAUCUGGGAAGUUUCAGACCUUGUCUAAGUUAUAACAACUUGGAGUUUUAGUUUGGUUUAUACAUCAAUAAAAUGUUGGGUAUGAGAUUGUCAUAAUGUAGCUUCUCAAACAAAUAUGGUUUUCAUUCAAAUACCAUGAACCUUAUUUCCUCUUCCAAAUACUCUACUUACAAUAUCUUACAUGAUAUAUUCAACAAAAAAGUAAUGUAAUCUUGGGCAACCAUACCCAUAAUACCUAUUUCAAACAUGCAUAUGGAUCCAACCAGAUGAAUAAAUGGUUGUUGCGUCGUGCCUCAGGGUCUUCAGUCCAGAGGCAAGUACUCCAACACUUGAUCCUUUAACUUCU